This 51899-nucleotide long non-coding RNA is filed under the name Sorghum bicolor (sorghum). RNAcentral describes it as "long non-coding RNA (SBIC_LNC016063)". Lineage: Eukaryota; Viridiplantae; Streptophyta; Magnoliopsida; Poales; Poaceae. The record is from RNAcentral.
ACCCAUACUGUGGCACUUUUUUGGUGCUUUUUUAACUUUUUUGUUUAUUACUUUUUAAAUAAGUUUAAUAUUUCUUAAUUAUUUCAUUUAUUUUAUUUUUUUGAACCAACCCACUUCUUAUUACAUUUUGGUGAUAUUAUUGUACUUCUUUGUUCAAUGACUACACAAUACUAAAAUUUAAAUCCUUUCAAUGAAACCUCAUUUUGGUGUAUAAUGAUGACUACAAAUAAGUAAAAAAGUUAGAUGUUAAUGAGUGUAAGGGAUGUAUACGACCAAACUGUCUAAAUAAUAUGAAUCUUUUUAUGUCAUGAUCACACACAAAAUUAAAGUGUUGCCAUGAUCAUACACCAAAGUAAGGUGUCCUUAUUAGUUUCAAGAUUUCCUACAUGAGUUAAUCUAUUGAGCCUUGUAUCCUUAUUAGUUUUGCAACAAACUAGAGUGGCGCGGUGGUGCCCUACGCUUCGUGUCAGGUAGAAAAAGAAAGUUGAAUAGGGAAAAAUGAUCAACAAUGAUGACCCGUAACACGCUACAUGAACAAUGUCAGAUCCAAACACGCUACAUUAAUAGAUACCAAAUGUAAUAAGAAUUUUUAAAAUAAAUGAGCUACUCAAUAAGGAAAAUUGUACUAAUUAAAAAACUAGCUUUAUCUAAAAAACUAAUUAAAAGUAUGGCAGAAACCAUGAUGAUACAUAAAUCACAAAAAUAGUUAAUACCAAAAAUGAAGUAAAAAAUAUGGCCACCAUAGCCUUUGAACCCACAACCUCACGAUCUAACUGAAAGAGCCUUGCCAUUGUGCCAUUCUAGUGUGUCUGUCAGUAUUGGAGCAAAAUUUUACUUGAACAUGUACCGCAAGGUACCACAACCUCUACCAGGCGCGGGAAAAAGUUGCAUCCUAAAAAAAUUUCCGCCAAAAAUUUUGGAAGGAUAAUGCUUCACGUAUCCAUUUCCCCCCCUCCCUCCUCACCCCGCGGCCACUAAUCCUCUCUCCCCCACCUUUCUAAACCCUAGCCGCCAUCGACGACCUGCAUCCUCGCCCGCCAAGCUGCGUCCUCGCCGAGCUCAAUCGCCACAUCCCUGUCUCUCAUCACCGAGAAGUGGAUCACAUGCAUCCCCGCCUUCUUCCUCGUUGACGCCACCGCUGACGAGCACUAGGUCUGCAUCACCAUCUUCUUCCCCGUUGACGACCGCCGCCGACGGGCUCGUGGCUGACGACCAAUGGUGGCAACAAGGGGUCAAGGUAGGAACAGACCUGCAGAACAAGAACAAGGUAAGCCGAAUCCUUUGCCUCGACUCCUAAUACUUCAAUUUUAUUGCUAGUACCGACUGCUCUGUGAACAAUUUGGGUAGUAGCAUUGAAUUUAGGACAGAUGGUCUUGCUGAUGUGCUUUAGGGUUUGUUUGCCCCCUUCAGUCUUUGUACUUCAGUUUUUCAAAAAAAUUGUGUAAGCAGAAACAUUGAGUUGAACCUGUAAUCACGCAAAGAAACCUCACUUGCCCCUAAUUUACUGGAUAUGUAAUUUAAGUAUUAAUUUGGAGUGUUUUGUGGACCCUGGAUUGGUCAUUUAGUUAUUCAAGAUAAGUAAACCUCAUGUUCCUAUGAAUUCCUUCUGCUUGUCUGUGAAGCAAGGUACUAGGGGAAAAAACUGGAAGAUAAACAAAUAUACCUGCAAAUUGUCAUGUACUUCUUCAGUGUUAGCAUACUUUAAAAAUCUGCUACAAUUCAUUUACAAAUUUUGUUAGCAAUGGAUGAACAUAUAUGCUACAAUUAAUUAGCAAUUGAUUAAUUUCUGUGCUGCAUUAAAUAAAAAUAUUGAGUAGUGGAACCCAUGAACCAUGCACAUAUUUGGUGACAGAUGAAGCUAUAUUCAGAGAAAACAACAGGCGAUACUUUUCCAUUUGCUUCUGUGCUCUUUUAGUUCAAACUGAAUUGGUAACAAAAAUAAUUUAGUUUAGUUUAGUUUCAGUUUGAAGGUAAAGACUAAAUGCAAUACUUUCAGGAAAAUAGUUGUGCAAAAUUAUUAAGUUAUUGAAUGAAUAAAUUCAGGGCUACAAUUAAUUCAGGGCGACUUCUGAGUUGAGUGUAACGCCUAGUUUUUUCAUAAUUUUAACCAAAUAUUCUGUGGGUGUUUGUGUUCCAGAAAUUUAAUGUUUCUGGGCAAGCUGGUUAUUGCCGGUGAUCUAAUUAUAAUUUGCUGAAAUUAAGCUGUUUAAGCUUUUUAAUAAAUGCCAAUGUGUGAACUCGCUGACUUUGGUCUACUAUUUCAUGGUGAAACUGAAUGUUCAGUCAACAUAAUAGAAAAGAAUAGCUUCCUCCUUGGUACUUAACUGUUGUUAUUUUUUAUAAUAUUUAUAUUCAGUGUACAAUGUCCCAUAGCUACCAACUUAUCAAAGCUGAAGUAAGCUAUUCUGGAAAUGCCUUGUUGAAUACAAUACAAUAGAUAAUUCAUGAUAAUUGUUACUGAUGCACAAUUAGGAACACAUUAGCUAAUGAAAACCCACCUGAAUCAGUAAACCAACAACUAAUGCCAAAUUAGCUGCUUCAUGAUAUUAUUAGCUAGCUUCAAAAGUUUCAGUACAACAAAACCUGUAGCUCUUACCUCUUAUUAGUACCUAUUACCUCUUAGAUCAGUCCUAUUUGUUUUCUAAUAGACACAUUUUCCUUGUUCUUGUAAGAACCUGCAAAAACUGACUAUGAGAGAAGAAGGGAUUCUCACGUGGCCGCAGUUCAAAAGAAGAUGGAAGAUCUGGGACUCAAAAUAUUAGCUACUGAUCUUAAAAAAUCUAUACCUCAAUCUGCAUCAAACAAGGGGAAAAGAUCUGCAAACAAGAAAUCAAAUAGUGAAGAUUCGGAUUCAUCGGAGUAUCUCCUUGACGAUGAUGAUCAAGGAGAUAGUGAUGAUGAUGACACUGAAUCUGAUGAUCAGCCACAACCCUUGGCAACUAAGGUGGACUCUCUCACUACACUACUUUCAAUUCUUCCAAUAACCAACAUUCAUUUGGUCAUCACUCUUAUUACUUGUUAGUCAAUGAGGUAAUACAAAUAGUGUUUUUCCCUCUACCUGUGGUUUAAAUUGCUGCCUACUAUUCCAUCUAUAGUGGUAGUGUAAGUUUCUUAUAUUCCUAUAAAUGGUUGUAUUAUACCAAUCAUGUAUAUUGCUGCAAUGCUUCCUGAGCUUUAAAUAUUUUUAUAAUUUUCCAUCUGUACUGUCAACUAUCAAGUAAAGUUUGUUUGAGACUUGUUUUUUUCCACAGUAUCCUCCAGGCUAUACUUCUAGAGGCCAAGCUUCAAAGAGGAGGAAGACAGGUGACAACAUGGCUCCAGGAGUAAGGGCUAGUAAAAGAGUGAGGGCAUUUGAAGGAUUAGAGGUGUCACCAACGCAAACCAAAACAAGAUCAUCGAAAAGGCCUCAUUCCUUAGCAAGAGAUGGGCAGAAUGAAGAAGAAAUACCACAAAGCUCUUUUACAGCUGUAGAAUCAAGCAAUGGAGUUGGUGUUACUAACACUACUACUGGAGAGGAAGAAAGUGGAGCUGCUGCUCAAGAUACCACAUGUGGUGAUGAAGACAACAUAACUGCAGAGGAAGGCAAGUUAAAGUUUGGUUGUCAUAAAAAAUAUCAUCUCUUUUGCUGAUUUCCAUGAAACUAAUGCAAAAUCUGUUUUGUAGGUCCGGCACAGCGAGCCCCAAGGAGGCCCAGGCCACCCACCAAGGGAACACAUGUAGAUAGGAUGACCAAAGCUAUGGGAAGGAGGAUGCCCAUAUCUAUUCAAGAAGGCAAAAGAAGGCCUCAUGAACCUGUUCAAGCAGCCAAGUUUGCAUCUGAGGCUGGAGUAGUGAUUCGGGAUCGGGUUCCUGUCCUAACUCAUUGGAAAGAAUACAAGAAGAACGAACAACAUUACGACAACUUUGUGAAAAAGCUAUCUGUAAGUUGAGUACUGUUUAGUUGGUUGGCUUUCAUGUAUGCUUAACAUGAAUUGACUAACUAAUUAUGCAAUUGACUGAUUGCCUGAUGACUAGGGGCGGUUGUCCAUCAACUCUGAAGACAAUGCAACAAAGGAAGCUUGCACCGAUAUGCUACGCUCUGGGGUGCGACAGAUGCGAUAUCGACUUAAGAAGAAAUAUUUCAUUGGUAUACCAGCAAAUGAGAUUAGGACAUCUUCUCUGGUUGCAAGCAUGACUGAUGAACAGUGGAGGGCACUAGUGGCUAAGUGGUCUGAUCCAAAGAACCUGGUAUGGGUAUCUUCUCACUUUUACUUUCUCAUUCAGUUUCAAGUGAAAAAGUGAAUCAAGUGUGACAUGUUCAAUCCCUUGUAGGAAUCAUGUGUAAAGAACAAGCAGAAUCGUAGUAAAGUCAAGUAUCAUCAGGCUACGGGUUCUCGCAGCUAUGUGGUACACUUGCAUGCAUAUGUGAGUAAAUAAAACUUUGUACAUUAUUGUAGUUAACAAGUUAUUUUGCAUUUCAUCUCACAAAACUUUACUGGACUUGAUUGUCAACCAACAAAAGCAGAAUAGAAAUAAUGCUGAACCCAGCUUAGAAUAAUUUGAUGAACUUGAUGCGGUGGAGGCCUUCAAGAGCUGCCAUACCAGCUCCAAAAAUGGACUCAGUGAACCAGCAAGAGAAGCUGUUGUAAGUCCACAAAUCACUUAAACUAUGCCAUUUUGUCAUUUCUAUACCAAUCUGCAGCUGCCUACAAGUUUUAGUUGAUGCUUCGGCAAAACAGAGCCUAGUUUUAGUAAUAAGGUUAGGAAAUCUUCAGUUCAUGUAAUAAUAAGUACUUCUUGAUCAGAGAAAAAAACAUAUUUGCAGUUUCUAGGUCAUAAGGUUAUGAGGACAAAAUAUGCAGUUUCUGUGGCAUUAUUUUAUACUUGUUUGAUCAGAGAAAAUAGAAAAAAAUAUGCAGUUCGUGCCUAAUAUGCAGUUUCUAUUGACCUAAACUAUUGGUUUCCAGAACAUAGUGUUUAAGAGAAAAUAAAAUAGUACUAUUGGUAGGGUGGCUUAUGUUGUUACUGAAUACAUUUGUAGUGUGAUGUAAUAGAUUUUGUUGCACUAUUACAAGCAAUAAGCAUUAGUCGAGUGCUUUCUUAUGCAUGAACAUGGUAGUGUGAACUUAAAUUAUUAAAAAUGUCAUUGCCUGCUUUGUAUGUGCAUGUAUUUUGAUCAAAACUGGUGACAAUCCAAUAUAGCAAGACAUAGUUGUUGGGUAAUAAUCAUAUGCUUAUGACUUCUAUUUCCAUUCAGUUUGUUAAGAACAAAUAAAUGUCUCAUGGAUUAUGUACAUUUGUUGCAUCAGCUAUCAAUGCAGUGUACGAUAGAUUUUUAUUUUCAACAAUAGAUAUUAUGUCAUAUUUUCCUCAUAUUAUUGCAAUAAGUAACAACUAAUUAUGGGUCUUUCUUGUUUCAGUCAAAUAUGGAAGCUUUGAGGGAACAACCUGUUGCUGAAGGUGAGACAGCAGUAUCGAGUGUCCAGGUUGUGUCGCAAGUGCUCUCUCAGAACAGCUCAAACAUAUUCCUCAAGAGUGUUGGCAUCAAACAAGUCCCAUCCUCCAAAUCAUCAAGCAAUGAAAGCCAACUGCAGGAAGAACUUGCAGCUGAGGCUAUGGCUGCUGUACAAGAUGAACUUGAUGUUCUCAAGAAAAGAAGUGAAGAAGCUGAGGAGAAGCUUGCGAGGACACAGCAGGAGUUGGAGGAGUACAAGAAGCUGACUGAGAAAAAUAACAAGGCAAUGGAAGAGAACAAUGCGCUGCUCAAGCGUAUCUUGUCCCUCAACAAUGCUUCAAUAUGAGCAAUGCUCGUAGCUGCUAGAAGUAGGACUUAACAUUAACUUGUACCUGCUGGUGAUUGGCAUGCUAGUGCUUUUGUUAAUGCAAUGCCUUAUGUUGAUGGUGGUAACUUGAACCAAGUGUAGUACUGUUUUAAGUUUAGUACUGGUGAACUGUGUUUAUGUCUUCCUAGUGGUGUCAAGUGACUUGUGUGAUGUUCAGUAAUCUUUAAGUUUUCUAGUUUAGAAUACUCAAUUUGUUAGCUUUUGAUGUCAAAUAUUAUUUUUUAUUUUCUAAUCAAAUCAGUAUGAGCACCUAUGUUGUCUAUUGGCAUUCCAUAAUUUAAUACUUAGUUCUACGACGAUUUUAAACUUCUGUUUGGUGACGAAAAUAUUAAGCAAUAACAGCUAGACACGUGGACUAAUCACACGAUGCCACGUGUUAGGUCACGGCAGCAGCCACAUGUCCACACCGUCAGACACGUGGCAGUCCACGUCAGGUGCCACGUCAGAUGCCACGUGGCAGCCCACGUCAGGUGCCACUACAGCAUACACGUGUCAGCCACGUCAGCUGCCAUGUGGCAGCCACAUCAGGUGCCACGCCAGUAACCAUGUGGCAGCCACGUCAGCUGCCAGCGUGGCAAACGCCGUUUGGCAGCCUGACGGGACGACGUACCAUGACAAAAACUACACACACCGAUGACGAAAACAAUACGUCAUAGAUUGAAUCCAGUUCUGUGACGAUAUCAUGUUUCAUCAUAGAACGAAUGCACAUCUAUGACGAAAAUGUCCAUUUCGUCACCGUAGGCAAAAUGUGACGCGCGUUCCAUGACAAAAACCGUUUCGUCACAAAAACGUCACAAAACAUUUUAUGUGACGUUUUUGGAAUCUUCAGUGACGAAAGAGUAGCGUCAUUGUUGAGCACAUCACUACUAAUAAGGACUUGGGCUCCAGCAUAUUCCCCGGUGUCCUUCACGAACUGCUGGAGCCAGCCCCACGCUUGCUGUGCUUUCUCAACCGGAGUCCGCCUCUACGCGCGGGGCUGGUCUUCGGGAGCUUCGGACUGAUCAGAUCUAGCACCGAGGCCACUCCCUUCUAGAUCUUAAUGCAGUUCGCCUUCCACGAGUCCCGGUCUUUGACCAGGUCCUCGACAUGCUUCUUCAUAUUGGCCUUGAGCACUGAGACAAGGUUUAAGACAAGAGGACAGUCAACAUCAGGCUACAACACUAAAAAACUUACACUCACCGUGUCAAAACCGAUUUUACCAGCCAGCUCCCGGUUCCUGGUCUUCUGCACUUCUCCGACCUUUCGCUCGCCCUCCAGUGCGCGAGCACGCUCCUAGUCGAGCUGGUCCUUCUCCUUCCGGAGGCGCUCUAUUUCCUCCUCCAGACCUGCAGCAGUAACUGUUCGUCAAAAGAACCGAACACGUUGUCAACCACCACUAGUGCCAAUAACAAGACUUACCCUUUUUCUCGUGGUCCUUGUCGGCUAGUCGCCGAGUUAGGCCCAGCAUCCGCUCCUCCCGAGCAGCCUUCUUCUUGGCCUUCUUCUUGGCUUCCAACCGAAGGCGGUCCACCUCAGAGGUCAGGGCAUUAUUUUUGGCCAUAAUCCCUUCAAUCUGGUCAAAGCAUCUUUUACGAUACUUUGCCAUUUUCAUCACGUCCUGUGGAUUUCACGUACAUAAACAGGUGAGCACCCCAAGACUUGUGUGUUUAAUGGAAUGCGAGAUCACUUACCUUAACCUCGCUGACAAGACGCUUGGCGGCCGCUCCACCCUCUCCGCCUCCUCGACCUCGGCAAUCUCUUCAUGGCCGGCCCAGUGGUCUCCACGUUGGUGCCACACAUAGAUAUGCUGGCGUCCGUUGUGGGGGUGCCCCUGGAUCUCCUCCACCUCGUCGUCGGAGUCCGCCUGGGCCCCCUCACCCUCUGUGCUUCUCCCCACCAUAGUCGAGGACAUCAUUGGUCCCUUACCAAGGUCGGGAGCACCCUCCGACGCGGCAGCCUCUACAGGCGGCUCCUCCACCCGAGCAAGGGAUGGAGCUCUGUUCUCCUCUUUCGCCACACUGCUCGGUGGGGGAGUGCCCGCAGCCCCUCAUCCUUUAUCGGGGCGUUUACACCGGCCCCUUCUCGGGCCGAGUCCUCGAUGAUCCUCUCCGUUGUUGGGGCAGUAGCGGGCUGUGCCAUGGGCUGCUCUGUGGCAGCCUACCCUACGGUGGUCUACCCAUCGAUAACUGGUUCAGUUGGCCCCGAGCCCAAAAUGGUGCUGGGGUCAACAUCCGAGGCAGCGCUGCAAAGUUCCACUCGAGAAUAACCACACCGGAACUCAAACUUCACGAAAAAUGUAGCUAUUUUUUCUUCACUUACAGGUCAGAGCUCUUGUAAGAUGCCGAGAAGACCCUCCGCCUGGCACGCCCAGCCGCCGCAGCUGCUUCUGCCUUGUUUGGUCGCGCCUACACGACAUGUGCAGUGGGUGGGUCCUCGGUGACCCGACCACCAUCAGUCGGGGCAACAUCCGGGCGGCUGUGGGGCUUGCGGACCAAGGUCGGGGCUGCUUCUUCCUCUUCAUCGUCGUCAACAACUCAAAGGAGUCGGUGGCGCUUAGGCGCUCGGCUUCCUGAGGCCGAGCCUUGGCCAGUUACAGGCCCUGGGGCUGCUCCCACUGGCGCUGCUCCUACUUGGGAUGGCCCCAUGGCCAUCGGUCUCUUGCUGGCCAUGGUCGGCACCGGUUGAUUGUCAUCUUCGUCGCUAUUGGUGUACCAGUAACAUCGAGCAGCGUUGUCCGCUGGUGGAUCCACUCCGGUCGGGUUCUCCACACCGGGCGCUAGUGAUACAUACACUACCACGCGGUCAUUGUCUCCAAUCUGCAAGACAAAGGCGAUAAGUUAUCAGAAGAAGGGCAUGACAAUUUACAAAAUUACAAAUCAACUGAAGUCAUCAUUUACCUUGGGAGCUGGUCGACCUAGCUUGUACGUGUGCAUCCGAUCGUCACUUCGCACGAAGCUGCUGUCGGCCAGGUUGAACAGCUCGUUGAUCCUUCGCUGGAUCUCCGGCUUCUCCAAGUUAUCCUGGUGCAUCCUAGUUGAGUCUUGGCCACCAUGGUAUUCAUAUGCCAAGUGCACCCUCCUCUGGCACGGCAUGACUCGUCGGCUUGGGAAGUUGCCGACUACUCCAGGCCCAUCCAAGCACGACCAGUCGAUCAGAUACAUCAACUCCUUUACCUGACCAGUAUACUCUAGUCGGUCUGUCCAGCUGACCCCCUUGUCGGGAACAUAACCAACAUCACAAAAUGUGGCGCUACCCGGCUCCUCCCUGAUGUAGAACCACCUCAUGUACCAUUCGGUCAGGGAUGUGUUCCAGGGGCAGUUGAGAUAGCGGUUCUUCAUCCCGUCACGGAGAUUGAGGUAUACUCCACCUGCAAUCUUAGAGCCUCCAACUGCUCCUUUGUUCCCCAGGCAGAAUAAGUAACGAAACAAAUCAAAAUGUGGCUCAAUUCCCACAAGCGCCUCAAAGAGGUGAAUGAAGGUCGCCACGAGAAGAAUAGAGUUCGGGUGCAGAUUGCAAAUCCCGAUCUCGUAGUAAAGAAGUAAACCCUAGAGAAAAGGCUUGGGGAUCCGGGUAGCUUUCUCCUUCCGGCGCCCUCCAGCCACCAAGCUCCUGGUUGUGCAGAAGCCCCAUCUCGAUGAGGCCGUUGAGAGACCUGGUGGUGCACCGGGAUUUCUUCCAUUCUUUGGCCAUCGUCUCAGCCCUCUUCUUUGAGUCGCUCUUGCCCAUUUUCUGUGCAAGAAAUCUAGAACCGGAUCUGAUGGGUUUGGAGACAGUAAGGAGGAUGAAGGCAGGAGGUAGUGAGGGUAUGAAGGCAGGAGGCUAGCGUGCAACUGCUGAGUGAGAUUCUAAGAAUACACCGAUGGGCUCUUUAUAACAGCGGCACCACCUCCUCCACUUCCUGACUUCUAGGGAAAUGUGCGGUCUUUGCGGCGGCAAUGGCGUUUCGGUUUUCAACUUCUGUUGCAGUAAAUUCGGUAGCCUUUUUAAUGAUUAAUGCCUUUCUUUUCUUGGUCCGCGUCAUGAGCGGCUGUGCCGUCAAAAGGCAUCCCUUUUCAUGUGCCGGACUGACGAGACGGCCAGACGCCUUGUCAUGUCGCCAAUUAAUGAAGAGAAAUGAUAUUUCCCAAAUUUAAAUAACCAAUUUAUUGAUGAUAAGAAGUCUAUUUGGAUUCAUCCAAAAAUCUAGGGACUGCACCGACCACCGAGCAUGAUAUGCUCGGGGACUGGUCGACUAGCCUGCCGAAAUGAAAUCUGGGGACUGCACCGACCACCGAGCAUGGUAUGCUCGGGGACUAGUCGACCAGCCUACCGAAAUGAAAUCUAGGGACUGCACCGACCACCGAGCACGAUAUGAUCGAGGACUGGUCGACCAGCCUGCCGAAAUGAAAUCUGGGGACUGCACCGACCACCGAGCAUGGUAUGCUCGGGGACUGGUCGACCAGCCUGCCCGAAUGAAAUCUAGGGACUACACCGAUUACUGAUUAUGUUUGACUCGACUUUGAAGUGAUAUUGUUAUUAUUUUUAGACCUUGCUACAAGGCUUAUACUUUUCCUUCCAGCAAGCUCGGGGACUACAUCGGUACGAUGCAUCUAGCGAUGCAUCUCAAUAUCAUAAUUGUUAUGAGGAUUUUGCUUUUUAGACCCUGGCACCACAUGCCUAUGACACCUACUACCAGGCUCGGGGACUAAGUGGGCACACUUCACCUUGCAAUGAAUAUGCUUGCUUUUUGAGACGCUAUACUUUUCAGAAAAGUAAAGUGGGCACACUUCAUUAGGAAAUAAAUCUUCUUCUCAAGAGCACCAUGCAUUAUUCGAACAACCUGCUUCUUCGGUAUCGGCGUUGAUCAGUUGUCAACUGUUCAGGUGUUUAUCCCACUGGUCGUUGAUGUCAAGCCUCAUUGAUCGAAGAAGCUCGAGACGACGUGUUACGUCAUAAUACAUGGAGCUCGGGGAUUAGCUGUGGGGGUAUAAACCCCUAUACCCUUACGGCUAGACUUGGGCCAGGAGAUUUGGCCCAUCACGAGAUAGCUCAAGGCUUGAUCUAACUGCUCAGAGUUUCGCGCAAGGAAACAAGACGUGGAGAUCAAGCAGGAUUCUAGUCGGUUAGAAUAGGAAUUGAUAGCGACAUUAUCUAUGGCAAUUAUAACCGACUAGGAUCAGUUUCUAGACCCAUAACACUGCCCUCUGGACUAUAUAAAGAGAGGUAAGGGGCCGCCCUUAGACAAUUCAAUUCAACUCGCAGCAAUACAAUCAGACGCAGGAGGCAGGUAUUACGCCCACACGGCGGCCUAACCUGGAUAAAAUCCUUGUUUGUGUCUUGCGUCACCAUCGAGUUCGUAGCUUGCGUGCUUAUCUGCCGAUAAACUACUACCGUGGGUAUACUCCAAGGUAGACUGCUGACUAGCUUUCGUCGACAGUAGCCUUCAUAUGUGAAUUAGCCACAUAUGUCGCUAGAUUUAAAUUAUAUAACGUUGCACCUACGCUCAAGUAAGUGUGAGCUGUGAGAGCAUGAUCAUCCAAACGGUGGUCUAGGGGAGUGUUCGCGGUGGUUUUCUGGAGUGGUUGCAUGUCUAACUAUGGAACCACGAAAGAAACUUAUUUGGGGAGUAACUAAUUUAUAGGGUAGAUGUGGUGUCAUUGUUUGUGCAUGCCGGAGUAUGUGCAAGGGAUGUGCACUUAGUUUACUGCUUUCUUAAGUGAUAUAUUGGGACUUUUUUGAGCUGCAAUGAAGUUUUGUGCAGGUAUUCUAAUAGCGCGCGUGUAAAUCAUUAGUUACCAAAUUGAGAGACGAAUGUAUGACACUGUAUAUUCGUUAGAAUAAUAAUUUUCUAAGUUUGUGAGGACAUACGGAUCGUGCAUGCAUCAUAUCGCAUUCAUACAUACAUUCUGUCUACUCCUUCCCUUAUAAUUUCAUCCCAUUGUAAUGAAUAAGUAUUGCUUAAAUAAUCCUCUCUCACCCACAGUUAUUCUUUUCCACAAAUGGAUGUGCCCGCCUCACCUCUCCCCAGUGACACCUUUUUGAGCAAGUUUGGUACUCCUACCCUGCUAUGGAGGGUGUUGUAGUCAGUCGGGUAUCCAGAACCACCUCAGUACUCCUGGUGGGAGGUGGAUAUGUCAGGAGGCUUACAGUGGUUAGCCAUGCAGGGAGUUGUCCCUCCACAUGGGGGUAGGCCCACAUGGAUAGGUUGGACCUGCAAUGCGGAUGGGCAGACUCCAUGAGAGGCAGCUUAGGUUGCAGCCCAUGCUAUGCUGAUCAAUAACUGUUAGUGGUUUGGUGAUGAGCUGACAGGAGGGCCAGUGGCCUCCAUUCCCCAUGCUGACCCAGCAGCAGCGGAGUGGAAGCAGGCUGAAGGUUGUGUGUUGGUCCGAGUUCGAGGAGAGCGAGCUGAAAGCUCCAGUCCUGCUAUGAGCGUGGCUGUGCUCAAGCUGUUCAGUUAGCGAGAGGACACCUAUGUGCAGGUGAUGAGGGCUAUUCGUCAGGCUCGGGAGAUGCAACAAAAGGCUGAAAAGCGUGCUCGCAAGUUUCACAAGCAAGCUAGACUCCUGGAGCAGGCCUAGAAGACCGCAAUGAUUGGGAGGACAUUACAGAGUAUCAUAGGCAGCAGUGGGUGAAGGCCACUUGGGAGAGAGAUCAUAAGCAGGUGCAGAUGAGUGAGUUGCCUAGAGAGAAGGAGACCUUGUAGGAGCACUUAGUGCAGGUCACUCGUGAGAGGGACACUGUGCUGCGUGUGUCUGAGAACAGGCGCCGGGCAUGGGAGAUGCACCGUGUUCACUCGGCUGAGCGGGAGAACUAUCUGCUGGAUCAGAUUGAGGCUGGUCUUGUGGAGAUUCACCACCUCAACAACUUGCUACACCCUAUUCUUCGCCCUGCUCCAGUUUACCCGGAUGUGGGACCUAAGGUGAUCAUGGCCGAUGAUGAUGGUAUGGAGGUAGAUGGACACGCCACGGCAGCACCACUCUUGCACGAGGAUGUGGAGGAUGAGGAGCUUGAGCCGGUUAGCGACGAGGAUGGAGAGGUGAUCUUCAAUGCUGACUCGGACGAGAAGCCUGGAGUGUAGUGGGUAGUUAGUAUCCGUCUUUUGAGGUUCUUUUGUAUAUCGACCUGUGGCAGUCGUGCCUUGUAAUCAUGAUGUAAUCCUGAACCUUGAUCUUAGUUCCAGUGUCUGUGCUAUGGUGAUGUAAUAAUUUUAUGGACUGGUUGUUUUAAUGACUAUAUCAUGUUCGAACGGCUAUUGACGAUAUUUCCCUUUAUUGUGCAUUUGAUGGAUAUGUGUGUCAUGUGCUGUGAUUGGUGAUGUGGUUUUGUGGAAUUGAAUUAUUGUGCCUCAUUUUGUAAAGUUAUUCCCUCAAAAACUUUCAGGCAUGAUUAUAAGUUCUUCUACGACAAAUCUUGUCAUCAUCAAUACUCACUAACUGUGUCUUUAGAGAUGCCUCGAGGCACUCGAGGUGUAGGAAAUCGUGCGAACAUGGAUCCACCCCCUCCUCCCCCACCACCAAAUCCGCAGAGCUAAUGCAGGCGAUGGUGGAAAAUCAGAAAUUGCAAACUGAGACUAUUUGUCAGAUGGCAAAUCAGGGUGGUCGGGACAUACAACAUGGGCCAACACCUAACCAGUAUAGCAGUUUCAAGGAUUUCAUGGACACCAAGCCCCCAUCUUUCAGAGAGGCUGAAGAACCCCUUCAGGCGGAGGAAUGGUUAAAUACCGAGAGUCUGAAGGCAGAAUAUGCAGCUCAUUGUUGUGCAUUCUUAACGUCAUUACCAAAAGUAGACUUAGUUUUCUCAUUCUGAUAACGGCGCCAAAAAUACUGAACCUAUCCCUGAUGCCACUUAAGUCAAGUUGUCAUCCCCAGCAUGACAUGAGAGACGCGGUAUUGAAAUAUGCAAUUGCUCUUCUGAAUGAAUAAUAAAUGAGAUCUGCAAGCGCACAGAUUAAUACCGAUGUAGCAUUUUAACCGGGAAGUAUUCUAGGUAUCGUUAUUUAUAUUUUUACCACUGGGAAGGGAUUUCUAAUCAUCAAUGUUGAUUAUGGAGUGGAAUAUAGAAUUGAGUAUCCAUCAUUGCAUUUGUGAUAGAGAGCAUUAUCUAUCUCUUUCAUACAGGGAUAAAUGUCACAUAAAAUAUAGAUAAAGUAUGAAUGGUGACAAAGAUAAUUAAUCUGAUCAGCAUAACGAGCCACAUAAAAUAAUGAUAAGAACCUCAAUAGAUAUUCUAGCAAGUCAUUAGCAUGGAAUUAGGAUGAACUACAAGAAUAUUUCCUAAGUUAUUCUUAACUAUAAUGUCUAGCAUAUCAUAGUUAGUGCAAUUAUACUUGGCAAUCAUUGCGAGAUAGGACUACGCCUAUGCGUAGUGAUAUUAUAAAGGAAGAUGAGAAACAUAGCAAUCACUCCCCUGUAAUAAUGUUGUUCUGCCUGCCCUAUACACGAGAGGGGGACUAUAUAAGAAUCAAUGGAGCUGUCACUACCACGAACUACCCCGCGAUCCGGCAUAUAGGGUACGAUCGCAAAUAAAUACGAUAUAGGCACCAUGCCUACACAAUACUUAUGAUUUACCCACUGUACACAUGGAUAAACGCUAUCCGAUCCUAAACAUGUAUAUAAUUCCAAUCUAACUAAGGCAAGCAUAUAACUAUGAUAAACUAAGAACAAUAUAAUUGCGAAUAUAAACAAGUAGAGCAAAGUCAUAAUCAAUAUAUUGAAGUAGAAUAAAGUCAUAUUCAUAAUAUUGAAGAACAAUCUUGAACAAUUGAAGAACAGUAGAGGAAUUACCAAGAAUCCUCUUGACAGAUCCAGAAACUAAUCGAAGAUUGACUCCUUCUAGUUCUAAUCCUAUGUAGCUAUGCUAAACUAGAGAUCUAUUGAUGUGGUGGCUCCAGGGCUUGAUCAGGGACUUCUUCUCCCAAGAUGGAUGAAUGAAUUAGGGCUUCAGAUCUUCUCCUCUAGGGGUCAGGGGGUCUGCUUAUAUAGUCCCUCCAAAUGAAUAUGGGCCGUCGGAUCAAACCGACAUUAAUCGCACGGUUUUCCUUUAUCCCUUAGGACGGUGGAGCAUGAUCCGUGAGGUGGAAGCCGAUUGGCCCUCAGGCCAGGGCGGGCGCCCAAGGGGGGACUCCUGAUAUUGUGAAUGUGCUGCAAAUCUCCAGGAAGUGUUGGAGAUGAGCACUAGCAUCUUCAUGUGCCUUCCCACACAACUGGUUGGAUUGCACCAUGUUGAUAAGUCCAGGCUUGAGCUCAAAGUUGUCGUCGAUCUCUGCAGUAGGUCCAUUACGGAUAUUGUCCGUAGUGGGAGCUAAGAACUCACAGAUCGAUUUGUUUGCCAUGACUUCGAACUGUGAAGACAAGUUCUGGGUGAAACUUUAGUGAUCUUCUUGAUUGGAUGAAGCUUCGUGCUGAAGUGUUGACGAUGCCUUCUUGAGCUUGGCUCUUGUUUUUCUGAAUAAUGCUUCGGGGUUGUCAACAAAAUUUCCUGGAAGAUGUCUUUUAUUCAUACAUUAACCUGCAUAAAAUAAAAUAGAAAAAUACCGAGGUAAAACUGUAUAAGAGAAUUGAUAAUCUCAAUCAUAUUAGUGAUGCGAAUGAUGAAUCAAAAUUCUAUAUUCAUUCCUGAUUAGUAAUCAACCUUCCUCGGCAACGGCGCCAAAAAUGCUUGUUGGGCAUUCUUAACGUCAUUACCAAAAGUAGACUUAGUUUUCUAAUUAUGAUAACGGCGCCAAAAAUACCGAACCUAACCCUCAUGCCACUUAAGCCAAGUUGUCAUCUCCAGCAUGACAUGAGAGACGUGGUAUUGAAAUAUGCAAUUGCUCUUCUGAAUGAAUAAUAAAUGAGAUCUACAAGGGCAUAGAUUAAUACCGAUGUAGCAUUUUAACCAGGAAGUAUUCCGUUGACGAUUCUUAAGUAUAAAUUUUAAUUAUCAAAUAAACAAGGAAAAGGACCAAUAUACAAACAACACCUAGAAUUAGGGUUUGAUUUGACAGAAUUUCAUGAGUUUUGUUGUUUAUCUAUUUCUGCAGGGGGUUAUCAGGAAAUAUGGAUGAAAGGCCCACAUGUCGGGUUUACAUAGAGAUAUUACCGUGCCGCGCAAUUUUCUAUCAUCUAGAAGACUCCAGAAGCCACGGGAACGAACGGGAGGCCGAUCGGGCCCGGGGGCAGGGCGCCCGACCUCCCCCCUUGGGCGCCCGCCCACCUCUGGUGGCCAAUCACGUUCAACCUCGCGGAUUAUGCUCCACCGACCUAAAGGAUAAAGGAGAACCGUUCAAUCAAUGUCAGUUUGAUCCGACGGCCCAGAUUCAUUCGAAAAGACUAUAUAAGCAAGGCCCCCUGGCCCCUGGAGAGGAGGAAUCCAAUUAUUCAUUAGCAUAUUUUCCAGAGAGGAUUCAGAGAGAGAGAGGUUCCUUACGGUUCCCACCUCAUAGGGCGUAGCAUCCAAUGUGAGAGUAGACUAGUUCUACUAGAUUGAGGGAGAUAGAGUGGAGGUGUAGAUCAGUGGAAGCCCGGCCUGUCGGUGUCUACUCUGAGGUUGUACUUGCGGGAUCAAGUCUCCUAACCCGAGGCUUGCUCCUAGGAUUCUUCAGUAUUUUGACUUCUAAAUUCUAGUAAGUUCUUUGUUUUAUUGUUCUUUGGUUUACAAGUUUACUUCGACCUCUUCGCGUAGAGUUUAGAGUAUUCAUCUCUAGCGUAAAGGUGGUGUUUGGGCUAGGAUACUCAUAGAUAUCCCCUAUCUAGCCGGACCGUGGUAGUAGUGAGGAACGUGACAUUUCCGAGUUACCUUUGUAGUCCAUAUCCCGUUAGCAGGAUCGAUAGGGUGUGCGGGUCGAACAUCCUCUGUGGUGUCUAGAUUCCGUGAGCUUCCCCAACAGAACAGUAGAUCAUCCUUACCAAGGUUAGAACGAGAGUGCGGUUGUAGUCUUCUCUAUACAUCACUCCCAUCGAAUCACAUAGUUUGUAGCCUAAAGGUUAGUAGUAAUAGACCGGGUUAGUCAGAUGCGCGCUUUCUCCUAGUGGUAAAAAUAUAAAUACGAUACUCUAGAUAACAUCUCGGGUGAAGUGCUCACCGAUAUCCGUGCACCUGCGGAUUAAUUCCUGAUUGCGUUUCCAAAUAUCAACAUAUUCCAGGUAUCGUUAUUUAUAUUUUUACCACUGGGAAGGGAUUUCUAGUCAUCAAUGUUGAUUAUGGAGUGGAAUAUUGAAUUGAGUAUCCAUCAUUGCAUUUGUAAUAGAGAGCAUUAUCUAUCUCUUUCAUACAGGGAUAAAUGUCACAUAAAAUAUAGAUAAUGUAUGAAUGGUGACAAAGAUAAUUAAUCUGAUAAGCAUAACUAGCCACAUAUAAUAAUGAUAAGCACCUCAAUAGAUAUUCUAGCAAGUCAUUAGCAAGGAAUUAGGAUGAACUACAAGAAUAUUUCCUAAGUUAUUCUUAACUAUAAAGUCUAGCAUAUCAUAGUUAGUGCAAUUAUACUUGGCAAUCAUUGCGAGACAGGACUACGCCCAUGCAUAGUGAUAUUAUCAAGGAAGAUAAGAAACAUAACAAUCACUACCCCGUAAUAAUGUUGCUCUGCCUGCCCUAUACACGAGAGGGGGACUAUAUAAGAAUCAAUGGAGCUCUCACUUCCACGAACUACCCCGUGAUCCGGCAUAUAGGGUACAAUCACACAUAAAUACGGUAUAGGCACCACGCCUACACAAUACUUAUCAUUUACCCACUAUACACAUGGAUAAACGUUAUACGAUCCUAAACAUGUAUAUAAUUCCAAUCUAACUAAGCCAAGCAUAUAACUAUUAUAAACUAAGAACAAUAUAAUUGCGAACAUAAACAAGUAGAGCAAAGUCAUAAUCAAUAUAUUGAAGUAGAAUAAAGUCAUAUUCAUGAUAUUGAAGAACAAUGAUGAACAAUUGAAGAAAAGUAGAGGAAUUACCAAGAAUCCUCUUGACAGAUCCGGAAACCAAUCGAAGAUUGACUCCUUCUAGUUCUAAUCCUAUGUAUCUAUGCUAAACUAGAGAUCAAUUGAUGUAGUGGCUCCAGGGCUUGAUCAGGGACUUCUUCUCCCAAGAUGGAUGAAUGAAUUAGGGCUUCAGAUCCUCUCAUCCAGGCGCCAGGCGGUCUGCUUAUAUAGUCCCUCCAAAUGAAUAUGGGUCGUCGGAUCAAACCGACAUUAAUCGCACGGUUUUCCUUAAUCCCUUAGGUCGGUGGAGCAUGAUCCGCAAGGUGGAAGCUGAUUGGCCCUCAGGCUAGGGCGGGAGCCCUGCCCCCAGGCCCGAUCGGCCUCCCGCUCGUUCCCAUGGCUCCUGGACUCUUCUAGAUGUUGGAUAAUUGCGGUGCACGUUAAUAUCUCUAUGUAAACCCGACGUGUGGGCCUUUCCUCCAUAAUUCCUGAUAACCCCCUGCAGAAAUAGACAAACACUAAAACUCGUGGAAUUCUGUCAGAUAAAACCCUAAGUCUGGGUAUCGGUUGCAUUUGGAUCCUUUUCUUUGUUUAUUUGAUGAUUAUAUUUGAUACUUAAGGACCGUCAACACUCAUCAGUUGCAGGGUCCGGAUGGCAUCUGGUGGAAUCAGCACCGGGAGGCUCUUCUACAUAAUACUGUGAUUGACUGGAAUCUCUUCUGUGAAUCUUUCAAGGGGCACUUCAUACCUCCUGGGGUCAUGGAGAUGAAGCAUACUGAGUUUAUGCAGCUAACUCAGGGCAACAAAACUCUAAAAGAGUGUCUGCAUGCUUUCAAUCAUUUGUCAAGGUAUGUGAAAGGUCCUAAUAUGGCUAGAGGGGGGAGUGAAUAGCCUAUAAAAAAUCUACAAACUCACUAGAGCAAGAGGUUAGUAAAUAACAAAGCAAAGCUUUUUGCUCUAGCUCUAAGGAGGUGUUUCCAAGCCACCUAACCAACAAUACUAGUUGCUUAUAAUCACUAUACACAUAAGAACUAUGUCUCUACUUACACUAAAGAGCUACCUAAAAUUUCUAUACAAGAAGUAAGCUACUCUAGUUUGCAAGAAAGUAAGAGAGAGUGUUUGAUCUUUAUACCGCCGCGUAGAGGGGAUGAACCAAUCACAAUAAUAUGAAGUCCAAUCACUGAGAGAGAUCUAAUGAACAAUCACAAUGGAGACACACAAUUUUCUCCCGAGGUUCACAUGCUUGCCGGCACGCUACGUCCCCAUUGUGUCGACCAACACUUGGUGGUUCGACAGCUAAUAGGUAUAGCACGAACCUCGUCCUCACUAGGACACCGCAAGAACCUAACCACAAGUGUGGUAGCUCAAUGACACAAGCAAUCCACUAGAGUUGCCUUUGGCUCUCCGCCGGGGUAGGCACAAACCCCUCACAAUCACCGGGAGAUGGCCACGAACAAUCACCAACUCGUGCGAAUGCUCCUCGGCUGCUCCAAGUCAUCUAGGUGGCGGCAACCACCACCAAGAGUAACAAGAAAACCGUAGCUAGAACGAUCCCCAAGUGCCACUAGAUGCAAUCACUCAAGCAAAUGCACUUGGAAUCACUCCCAAUCUCACAAAGAUGAAUAAUCUAUGAAGGAGAUGAGUGGGAGGUGUUUGCUUAGUCUCACAAGGAUGUCAAGUAUGCUAGAAUGCCAAGAGAGUGAGCCCCAAGCUGGCCAACAACUAUUUAUAAGCCCCUCAAACAAAUAGAGCCGUUGGCUCUUUCACUGGGCACAAGUCGAGGCCACCGGACGCUCAAGUAGGAGGCACCAGACGCUCAACCCUUGCAUCCGGUGCUCCAGAAACAGCCACGUGUCGCCCUUUUCACUUUCGUGUGUCGAUCUCUAACGGUCACCUGCAGAGCACUGGACGCACUCAACUUUGCACCGGACAUGUUCGGUGCACACCGGUCUUAUACGCAGAGAGGUCUGCAAACACGUGGGGUCACCGGACCCACACCACCAGAUGCGCUCCAGAGCGUUUGGUCCCUUACCCAGAGAGCUCAGCAAUGUGCAAGGACACCGGACGCGCACCACCGGACACACCCUAAGCGUCAGGUGCUCUCAGUCAAAGACUCACACUGAGGACAAGCCACACCAGACGCACAAACAUGGUCAAGCCCGCGUCUGGUGCCUAGCGUCCGGUACUUUACCCUAAUACCGCUAGAAGCAGAUAGCUCACCGAACGCAUAGGCACUGCGUCCGGUGCCUCUGGGCCAGUGUCCGGUGAGUGUUUCUCAGCGAGAAAACAAUCCUACAACUUCUCCAAAUUUCCCUCUGGCGCAAUAGAAAAUAUGCAUUUUGUUGGUGUUUUCCCCCCGGGGGGUCACACCAACGAGUAAAACUUAUGCGUGCUCCCCUUUCCAGAUGGUGAUGCAAGAAAGACACAAAGUUUAUCCUGGUUCGGGCAAGAGAAGGCCCUACGUCCAGCGGGGGGGGGAGAUGUUUCUAUUAUCUUGCACCUAAGUGCUUGUACAGGCUGAAUACAAGUCUAUAUGGUAUGGAUGGAUGGAGAUGAAGUAUGGUUGCUCUUCUACGUAUGUCUCGUGUCCCCUAUCCUUUCCUGGGCCUCCCCUUUUAUAGUUCCAAGGGGAGACCUAGGUUACAUGUGUAGGUGACAGAGUUGGGGUCGAUAGGGGUGUGGCGCGCUGACCUACUCGAGGCUUCUGUACCGGCGUGGCCUCGAACCGUCUCGUCUCGGUACCUUGAUGAUGAUUACGCGUGCCUCUGAAUCCUGCUCCCGUGCGCCGUCCAGGAUGGGCUUAACUGUAGGUAUGCCCGUACGUCAUGCUGCAGUCGAGUCAGGGUGGUUGAGGCGCUGUCUUUCACUGCCUGACUCUUCUCAGGGAAGGAGCAUGCUUGCUCGAGGGUCUGACGCCGUGCAAAGCCCUGCUGGUUGCAGUGCUGAAUUUGGGCGUCUCGAGGGGGGUCAUGACGAGACGUUCCGUCCACCUUGCUGUGCCCUGUCAUGCUCUGACUCAUCCGGUGGACAAGGCUGCAAAAAGGGGCGAUUGGAUGGGUGCUUGCUUCCUAUCACGCUUCCCGUGACUGUCGGGUUAGGUGAGAACGCGACAAGCGCAUUAAAUGCCCUGGUUCCCGUACCCGCGUCAGGCGGUGGGGCGGCGUCCUUGCGCUCGAGGCUUGUCGAUUCAUACGAGCUAGUUUCCGUAUUCGACGGAUGCCGUUCGGUCGAGCCCCAGUUGAUUCGUAUGACGCUCUUUCGAUGUUCGAGGCUACGAACGUCGUCUUAUCUCGAAAAUCGUACAUGCGAUCAGGGGCGUCGAGUCGGGGGCCUCGAUUUACAUACGGAUGCUCUCGUUAUGUGUGUUGGUUAGGGUACCCCUUACUGAUAUCCUCGACAAUAGCCCCUGAGCCUCUAUUCGAGCACUUUGCGCUUGAGUAGAGGCUCUUCUUGUUGGUCGAGUUUCCGUGGGGUCGCGCGAGCGACCCCCACGGGGGUAGCCCUCGAACCCUUGGAGGAGUCUUUGACUCCUUCGAGGGUUAUGUUGCCUUAUCCGACGGAAGCGCUCUUGAUGUUUGUCAUGGAAGAGGAGCUAGAGGCUUCGAUCGGAUGGUUUAGCGUCAGGGUUGUGACGUACUCCCGGUGGAGCGAGCGUCACCUACCCCAGAUUGAGCUCCUAUCGGGUAAUCCAAGUGAGAACCUGUGCCCCGUUCGAGGGGGUCAGCUGUAGCCCGGAGGCGUUCUCAUAAAGCUGGGUCGACGUGGUCGGGGUUACUGGUCUCGUUCGAUAGAGUCCAGCGGCUCGAUGCCUCCCUUCAUGGGGAUUCCUCUCGACCGUCUCGUCCUCGCCUUGGACAUCCCCAGCGAGUUCUCGAGGUGGGCCUCGCUUUUCGACCACUCGCUGGGUAUCCCUGACUUUGGUACUCAAGAUCGGCUGUCGAACCCGUUCGGUCGGUCAGCCUGCGACCUCUCGAGAUUUUCAUUGUAACGAAUGCGUACCUUAGCUUACAGGGGAAGGAAAGGGUCGCGGCGGCUCGCCUUUUUGCCCGUUGGGCGCGCCUUUUCAGGCGGGAGCCGUUGCGGCACUGUAUGUCGACGAAAGCUGGUCGGCAGUCUACCUUGGGGUAUACCCACGGUAGUAGUUUAUCGGUAGACGGUGCGCAAACUACAAACUCGAUGGUGACGCAAGACACGGACAAGCUUUUUAUCCAGGUUCGGCCGCCGAGUUGGCGUAAUACCUACGUCCUGCGUCUGGUUGUAUUGAUUUGUGUUGAGAGAAUAUGAUGUGUAUGACUUGUCCUCUAGGGGACCCCUGCCCCUCCUUAUAUAUCCUGAAGGGACAGAGUUACAAGCAAAGUAUCCUAUUUGGUACAAUAUCUUGUAGUCUUGCGGUGCACGCCGACCAGUCGUGCGCUGCACGUCUUCAUCCUGUGGGCCGAGCCACCUCUGAUGGUGCGGCCCAUAUAGGCCCAUGAGGGUAUAGGGGUUUAUACCCCCACAGCUAGUCCCCGAGCACCAUGUAUUGUGAUGUAACACGCCGUCUUGAGCUUCUUCGAUCAGUGAGGCUUGACGUCUUCAAAUAAGCAAGAAAGUCGCCCAAACAGUUGCAACAGUAUUUUGACCAACUCAAAAGACAGUUGAUCAACAUUGACAUCGAAGAAACAGGUUGUUCGAAGAAUGCAUGGUGCUCUAAAUUUAAAAUGAUUUCUUUCCUGGUGAAGUGUGCCCACUUUACUUUUUUGAAAAGUACAGAUCUCAAAAAAGCAAGCAUAUUCACCGCAAGGUGAAGUGUGCCCACUUAGUCCCCGAGCCAGGUAGUAGGUGACGUAGGCACGUGGUGCCAGGGUCAAAAAAGUCUUCAUAUAAAUUCUGAAACUGAGAUGCAUCGCCAGAUGCAUCGUACCGAUGUAGUCCUCGAGCUUGCUGGAAGGCAAAGUAUGAGCCUUGUAGCAAGGUCUAAAAAAUAAAAUUACCCUUCAGUUGUAUAUGAGUCCAAUUCAUAUGUAACUGAGAAGAACAAUCCUCAAGCUGUGGUUGGAGAGUGAUCAAAGCAAGCCCUGAGCACAGUGCAGGGAGUGAUUGAUGAGUCUCCGAGCACGAUCGGUAGUCAGCACAGUCCCCGAGCACGACAUAGAGACUGAUCGGCCAGUCCCCGAGCGUGGUUGGGAACGUAAACGUGCUCGGUGGUCGGCACAGUCCCCGAGCACGGCGUAGAGACUGGUAGACAAGUCCCCGAGCGUUGUUGGGAACGUAAACGUGCUCGGUGGUCGGCACAGUCUUCAAGCACAGCGUAGAGAGUAGUCGACAAGUCCCCGAGCGUGGUUGGGAACGUAAACGUGGUCGGUGGUCGGAGCAGUCCCCGGACACAGCGUAGGGAAUAGUCGACGAGUCCCCGAGCGUAGCUUGUCGACUGGUAUAACACCCCAAAAUUCUUAUUUUGAGUUGUUAUUAUAAAUCAAUAAAAAAAAUAAAGGGUUUUAAUAUGUGGAUAAAAUUUGCCAACAAUAGUUUAGAUUUUUAUAUUUUUAUCAACGAAAAGUGGUGUUUUUCAAAUGUUAUGGAAUUAACUAGACGAGCUUUAGUUGAUGUGAUGCUUGCUUAUUACUUGAGUUUAUUAUUUUUAUGUGUGCUAAGAUUUUAAAAACACGUUUAGACGUCGUCCGAUGCUUCCCGAGAAUUUUUCGGACCUUUUUAAGACUUUUCCCCAUUUUUCUAAAAUAAAAAUCUAAUUUUGGAUGCUCUAAAUUCUUUUUCAUAGACACCAAAAACUUUAUUUGGAUUGAUCAACUCUCAAUGUAUCUCUAAAAGUUUUCCUUUAAUUUUUAGAAUUUUGGAAAUAUUUUUUCAGGAAUUUAAAAUGAUUUCAGCUUUUUCUAGAAUUAUUUUGGAACUGAAAAUAAUUUAUUUAAAAUCCCAAAAUUAAGAAAUUCCAAAACUUUUCCAAACCCUAGACCUAUAUAUAUGCCGGCGUAGCCCUCGACGCGCUGAUUCAAGAAGUACGAUCGCUUUCCCGAGCCGCCUUUCGUAGCUCCGCAGAUCCAUCGCCGAAGUUUUGGAUCUCGUUUCCGGUGAACUUUUCCGGUGAAAGUUCGGCGAGGUUUUCCGGUCAACUCCGGCGUCCUCUGCGAAAACCGUCACCGCUGCGAGGUUCGUCUCGUCGUCCUCUACACCGGCACGCCAUUCGUUUUGUAAAUCCGGGCUAGUUUACUGUUUCCCUAACCUCUCUUCUUUUCCGGCGAACUUUAUCCAUGGCCGGCAUCGUCUUCAUCUCCUCCGGCGAUUCCUUGUACCAGCAGCUGGACGUCGCCGCCUCAGAUUCGCGACCCCAGCCCGACCAGCGCGCGGCCUCGCGCGCCCCUGCUUGCGAGCAGCAGGACGCCGCCGCUGCCUCGUGCAGCACGGCUGCCCCUUGCAUCCCUGUCUCGGACGGCCGCCGCCACAGGCCUUGCUCGGCUUGGAGCCGCCCUCUGGCUCGCCAAGGUCCUGGUCGUUCCCCGUCGCUGGCCGGCCAGGCGGCCGUCCCUGGCCCCCGUCCGUGUGAGCAGCGGCAGACCCUUGGCCACGUACGGAUGACUCAAGGUAGAAGAUGAAAGUAAUUACAAGUUUGCCACUGGUCAUUAAUCCUUUGCCAUUUAAUCGUUCUAACUCCGUUUCAUUCCGUUUUAAUUGCGUUAGUUUCGUAACGUCGCGCUCUACGCAGUAGUGCUAACUUUUAUUUUGUCAUAUUUUUUUUAUAUAUAUUUAGUUGAAUAUUAGAUUAAUUAAUAUAUGCACCUAAAUCUAUAAUUAAAAGCAAUAUAGAGUUAUAAUCAUGAUUUCUAUUGUUUUAUGACCAUGACAACGUAAAUGACUUGUUAGCGAUACUGUUUUCCAUGUCCCAUGUUUGUAAAUAUAAUUAGUUUAAUUAAUAUUUAUUGAGUGUCAUUUUUUAAUUAAUAAAAAAACAAUUUAGGUUUACACUUUGGUAUUUUUAUAAUCUAAUAUUAACUUGAUUAAUGUUAACUUAAAUAUUUAUUAGUUAUAAUUCUUUUAGUUAGACAUAAAGUAUAUAAUUAAUUUGUUUAAUAUUUAUUUAAUGUCUUUUUGGAUUAAAGUAACUUAUGUUUAUAAUUUAGAUCUUUUAUAAAUAAAUAAAUGUUAACAUUAUUAAUAUCAACUUAAAUGGUUCUUUAUUAGUUAUAACUUGUUAUAUAAAUGUGACGCAUGUUAGGAUUUGAUUAGUUGCUCUCACUUGCUUUGUGUUUUCUAAAAUUACAAAGGCGUAAAUGGCUUAAAUGAUAUAUAAUCAUCUACAAUUAAAAUAUAACUGAAAUUUAACUCCGGCUUUUAUAAUUCAACAUAAUUUGGUUAAUCUAAAAUUAGGAUAGUUCUAUUAAAUGUCUGUCAUUUUAUUUCAUUAAAUAAAAUACGACCAGCGUGUAGUCGUCUUCUUCGUUACACUUCGAACCUCGAAAGUCGUAUCUGUUUAACGAUAGCUCCGUUCUCAACCGUUCUUGCGUUGUCACGAUCGUAGCAAUAAGCCGUGUCGUUUAGUGCGCUCUUUCUAAGCUUUUCUUUUGAUUGAUGCUUGUUCUUAGUCGUGAUUGUUUGUUUGUCUGUUGGUGUUGCUUGUUUGCUACGAGUAGAAGAAGCGUGGUUCAUCAACAGUGAAGAUCAGGAGCUGAGGACCGACAGUCGAAGCAGAAGUUGGAGAUCAGAAGAAAGAAGCCAAAGAAUUCUGAGCAGAUAUACACUAGGAAUUAAAGCAAGUGCAGACACCGUUUGAUCAUUUUGAACCUAUUCAUUAAUGCCAUUUACUUUAUUACGCAUGUGUCCAAUGAAUGCAAACCCUAAGGACAUGACUAGCUUUACUUACUAUUCCUUGUUCACCUGGGGUUUUGUAUAUGGGUAGUUUAGGCUAUACUAGGUUUGCUUAGUUGCUCUACUCAUCUUAUACACAUGCCUAAACAAGUAUUACUCUCUACAUAACUUGAUGCUUAAACUGUGCUGAACCUUUGGUCAUUGCGGUGAUGGCGAUGUUGGAUGCUUACGAGCAUCGUGAUGAUGGUGGCGACAGGGGGAGCGGGUACUGUUGGUGGUCCGGUUUGCCGGGCAUACCCGUCUCUGCUCUCCGUAAGGACUUAGUCAGGGAGCGGCCCCCUGGGACAUACAGUGCAGCUCCAAGCUAUAUGGCUCUGGCUUGACUAAUUAGCAGGACCUCCACUAGUAGGGUGUUACUUUCCGGGUAGGCGUGAGGAAGUAACUUGGGUAAUGAAUAUUAAGUUGUCGGUUGAUCGGUACGCCAUGGCUAUGGGUAUCGACUGCCGAGCGCCCCGGUAAAAACUUGCGAGUGGCAUCCUAUUAGUUGGACCCUGUGAAAGGUCUCGUAGUGAGACCCUGCCUGCUCACCUUGGCAGUGUUUUGGAGAGUCAUGACCCCAGGCAAAUGGGAAUCACGACUUGGAGUGAACGUGCACACCUCUGCAGAGUGUAAAACUGAUAUAUCAGCCGUGCUCACAGUCACGAGCGGCCCAGACCCUCACUUGAUGAGCAAAUUAGAUUCACUGGAUACUUGGAGAUGGAACUUGGCGAGGUUGCUACCUCGUGUUUUGGCGGAAUGGCUAUUCCGUGUUGGCCGGAUUGCUAUCCUGUGUUAAUAAUUGGGGUUAAUCCCUGGACUACUAUAAUUAUUAGGAUAGUCAUUUAAAAGAUGCUAAUCACUACUUACACUAAUAAAGGGUUGGGUUUAUGCUACUCAUAAUUAGUAGUAGGUUGUUCUAAUAAUAGUCAUAAUUAAAAGUGAUCAACUAAAAUGCUACCGCAGUCAAACCAAGUCAGCUUUACCUUGUUUUAAGCCUUGCAUGUCAUUACUUUCCGUCUGUGCUUGCUGAGUUCGACAUGAACUCACCCUUGCUAUUCCCCCCACACCCCAGUGUGUAGUAAAGUGCUGCUCAGAAGAAGAACAAAGAUGUUAUGGAGUUUUCUAGAAGCUUAUCAGAAGUGCUUGGCGUACGGAGCCCCCAGUCAACCGUCCCUGAGAAGAAUGGAGCCUAAGAAGUUUAGCUACUGUUUCCGCGUACUCUGAUGUUUGUAAGUGUUAAUAUAAAUAUGUUUUCCGCUAUAUAACAUUGUUUCUGAUAUUUCUAUUCUUUUGUUAUAUGUGUGGACUUCCUGGGCACACAUAUGACGACUCUGGUCUUAUUUUAAAAGCCAGGGUGUGACAGGAAUGGUAUCAGAGCAAUGUUGACUGUAGGACGUAUGCCUAGAUAGCGCUGGUCGAUUUCUAAAGCUUAUUUUGCUAUAAAACUAUUUUCUUAUACCUUGACCCUUGAUUCUGAUUAUUUCUUCAUCCUUGUCAUGUUGUAUCCCCUCCUUGAAUAGCUUCCUUUGAGCUAUUUCUACUAAUCUCCUUGGCUUUUGUUUAGUUGUUCUACUUAAGUUUACAAAACUUGCUUUAUUCCAAAAUUCGAUGACCCUUCAUCAUCUCGGACUUGCCUUUUAGGAUGACCAUCACUGUUGAAGAAGUUCGUGUAGUGUCGAUGAUGUAUUGUAUGCUUGUCUUGCUUGUUUGUAUUGCUUGUGUGUUAUCCUUGUUCUCAUGUUCUGAAGGAUGCCCAGUUUAUUUUGAUCCAUGUUAUGUGGGGUAGAUCCUCUACCACUCUUGAUAUCUUGAACAAAAGGAAGUUUGAAGAUUGUCUCUUGUUUAUCUCCCUUGCCUCCUCGAAUCUCAGGACAUGAUUCUUAUUAAUUUGGAGGGUGUUAUGUUGUGUUUAAAGUGGAGAAUCCUCUAAGCUAGUUUUCCUACAAUAUGAUGUUCACCUAUAUGUUCUCGAAGAUAAGCCAUACUUUGUCAGAGUGGGGUAGCGUCCGCUACCGUCAUCUAUCUCAAGUAUCCCUAGUUUCAGGACACGAAGAACUAAAGAUCAAUCUUUAUCUUUCAUCUCUAUUAUUUUUGUCAACAAUUUUUAUCUUUCUUGUUAAUCUCUCUUUAUCAUUUUAGUUAUCAUUCUUCAUCUCUCUUAUCACCAUUUGCGAUCUUGGAUGGUUGUUGCAUUUCGUAAAAUCUCAAAAGAAUCUUAAAGAACAACCUUUAUCCUUCCUACCAACCCUUGUGAGUCUACAAUCCUUUCAUCAUCUCACACCAAAGAUCUUGAAAAAAAACUUGGAAGAUUAAUCUCCAUCUUCUUUGUCAAGCUUGGCUAAUUCUCAAUCAUUUUAUCUUAAAUCCCAUAAAUCUUGAAUGAAGAAAAUAUGAGCACUAUAAGAUCUAUUUUUUAUCUUUUAUACCAUCUUUUGCUAGUCCUAGCUCCUUAUCUUUACACCUCGUAAUGUGAAGACUCGAUGAUCAAUCUUUAUCUAUUUUUUCUCACAUCCUUAUAUAUUUCUUUUCAAUAUAUCUUGACCUUCAAUAAAGCCUGAUAAGUAUCAUGGAUAUCAAUCCUUGUCUUUAUUAAAUCUGUAAUCCUUUCAUCAAUCAAUCGUUAACAUCCUUGUCAACUUUUGGUAGUCCUUAGUUCUUUCAUCACAUCUCUCGUAAAUCUUGAAUCAAGAAAAUGGUGAGCACCAUAAGAUCAUUUUUGUCAUUUCUCUAUCAAACCUUGUUAAAUUUUUUUUACCCUUUUAUCAUAUCUCAUAUAAAAAAAAUUCUCACACUCAACCUUGAUGAUCUACUUCAUCUUUCUCACAAGUCUUUCCAAAUAUCGGGACGAGAUUCAUGUUAAGUGGGGUAGAUCUAUAACACCCCAAAAUUCUUAUUUUGAGUUGUUAUUAUAAAUCAAUAAAAAAAUAAAGGGUUUUAAUAUGUGGAUAAAAUUUGCCAACAAUAGUUUAGAUUUUUAUAUUUUUAUCAACGAAAAGUGGUGUUUUUCAAAUGUUAUGGAAUUAACUAGACGAGCUUUAGUUGAUGUGAUGCUUGCUUAUUACUUGAGUUUGUUAUUUUUAUGUGUGCUAAGAUUUUAAAAACACGUUUAGACGUCGUCCGAUGCUUCCCGAGAAUUUUUCGGACUUUUUAAGACUUUUCCCCAUUUUUCUAAAAUAAAAAUCUAAUUUUGGAUGCUCUAAAUUCUUUUUCAUAGACACCAAAAACUUUAUUUGGAUUGAUCAACUCUCAAUAUAUCUCUAAAAGUUUUCCUUUAAUUUUUAGAAUUUUGGAAAUAUUUUUUUCAGGAAUUUAAAAUGAUUUCAGCUUUUUCUAGAAUUAUUUUGGAACUGAAAAUAAUUUAUUUAAAAUCCCGAAAUUAAGAAAUUCCAAAACUUUUCCAAACCCUAGACCUAUAUAUAUGCCGGCGUAGCCCUCGACGCGCUGAUUCCAGAAGUACGAUCGCUUUCCCGAGCCGCCUUUCGUAGCUCCGCAGAUCCAUCGCCGAAGUUUUGGAUCUCGUUUCCGGUGAACUUUUCCGGUGAAAGUUCGGCGAGGUUUUCCGGCCAACUCCGGCGUCCUCUGCGAAAACCGUCACCGCUGCGAGGUUCGUCUCGUCGUCCUCUACACCGGCACGCCAUUCGUUUUGUAAAUCCGGGCUAGUUUACUGUUUCCCUAACCUCUCUUCUUUUCCGGCGAACUUUAUCCAUGGCCGGCAUCGUCUUCAUCACCUCCGGCGAUUCCUUGUACCAGCAGCUGGACGUCGCCGCCUCAGACUCGCGACCCCAGCCGGACCAGCGCGCGGCCUCGUGCGCCCCUGCUUGCGAGCAGCAGGACGCCGCCGCUGCCUCGUGCAGCACGGCUGCCCCUUGCAGCCCUGUCUCGGACGGCCGCCGCCACAGGCCUUGCUCGGCUUGGAGCCGCCCUCUGGCUCGCCAAGGUCCUGGUCGUUCCCCGUCGCUGGCCGGCCAGGCGGCCGUCCCUGGCCCCCGUCCGUGUGAGCAGCGGCAGACCCUUGGCCAUGUACGGAUGACUCAAGGUAGAAGAUGAAAGUAAUUACAAGUUUGCCACUGGUCAUUAAUCCUUUGUCAUUGAAUCGUUCUAACUCCGUUUCAUUCCGUUUUAAUUGCGUUAGUUUCGUAACGUCGCGCUCUACGCAGUAGUGCUAACUUUUAUUUUGUCAUAUUUUUUUUAUAUAUAUAUUUAGUUGAAUAUUAGAUUAAUUAAUAUAUGCACCUAAAUCUAUAAUUAAAAGCAAUAUAGAGUUAUAAUCAUGAUUUCUAUUGUUUUAUGACCAUGACAACGUAAAUGACUUGUUAGCGAUACUGUUUUCCAUGUCCCAUGUUUGUAAAUAUAAUUAGUUUAAUUAAUAUUUAUUGAGUGUCAUUUUUUAAUUAAUAAAAAAACAAUUUAGGUUUACACUUUGGUAUUUUUAUAAUCUAAUAUUAACUUGAUUAAUGUUAACUUAAAUAUUUAUUAGUUAUAAUUCUUUUAGUUAGACAUAAAGUAUAUAAUUAAUUUGUUUAAUAUUUAUUUAAUGUCUUUUUGGAUUAAAGUAACUUAUGUUUAUAAUUUAGAUCUUUUAUAAAUAAAUAAAUGUUAACAUUAUUAAUAUCAACUUAAAUGGUUCUUUAUUAGUUAUAACUUGUUAUAUAAAUGUGACGCAUGUUAGGAUUUGAUUAGUUGCUCUCACUUGCUUUGUGUUUUCUAAAAUUACAAAGGCGUAAAUAGCUUAAAUGAUAUAUAAUCAUCUACAAUUAAAAUAUAACUGAAAUUUAACUCCGGCUUUUAUAAUUCAACAUAAUUUGGUUAAUCUAAAAUUAGGAUAGUUCUAUUAAAUGUCUGUCAUUUUAUUUCAUUAAAUAAAAUACGACCAGCGUGUAGUCGUCUUCUUCGUUACACUUCGAACCUCGAAAGUCGUAUCUGUUUAACGAUAGCUCCGUUCUCAACCGUUCUUGCGUUGUCACGAUCGUAGCAAUAAGCCGUGUCGUUUAGUGCGCUCUUUCUAAGCUUUUCUUUUGAUUGAUGCUUGUUCUUAGUCGUGAUUGUUUGUUUGUCUGUUGGUGUUGCUUGUUUGCUACGAGUAGAAGAAGCGUGGUUCAUCAACAGUGAAGAUCAGUUGCUGAGGACCGACAGUCGAAGCAGAAGUUGGAGAUCAGAAGAAAGAAGCCAAAGAAUUCUGAGCAGAUAUACACUAGGAAUUAAGGCAAGUGCAGACACCGUUUGAUCAUUUUGAACCUAUUCAUUAAUGCCAUUUACUUUAUUACGCAUGUGUCCAAUGAAUGCAAACCCUAAGGACAUGACUAGCUUUACUUACUAUUCCUUGUUCACCUGGGGUUUUGUAUAUGGAUAGUUUAGGCUAUACUAGGUUUGCUUAGCUGCUCUACUCAUCUUAUACACAUGCCUAAACAAGUAUUACUCUCUACAUAACUUGAUGCUUAAACUGUGCUGAACCUUUGGUCAUUGCGGUGAUGGCGAUGUUGGAUGCUUACGAGCAUCGUGAUGAUGGUGGCGACAGGGGGAGCGGGUACUGUUGGUGGUCCGGUUUGCCGGGCGUACCCGUCUCUGCUCUCCGUAAGGACUUAGUCAGGGAGCGGCCCCCUGGGACAUACAGUGCAGCUCCAAGCUAUAUGGCUCUGGCUUGACUAAUUAGCAGGACCUCCACUAGUAGGGUGUUACUUUCCGGGUAGGCGUGAGGAAGUAACUUGGGUAAUGAAUAUUAAGUUGUCGGUUGAUCGGUACGCCAUGGCUAUGGGUAUCGACUGCCGAGCGCCCCGGUAAAAACUUGCGAGUGGCAUCCUAUUAGUUGGACCCUGUGAAAGAUCUCGUAGUGAGACCCUGCCUGCUCACCUUGGCAGUGUUUUGGGGAGUCAUGACCCCGGGCAAAUGGGAAUCACGACUUGGAGUGAACGUGCACACCUCUGCAGAGUGUAAAACUGAUAUAUCAGCCGUGCUCACGGUCACGAGCGGCCCAGACCCUCACUUGAUGAGCAAAUUGGAUUCACUGGAUACUUGGAGAUGGAAUUUGGCGAGGUUGCUACCUCGUGUUUUGGCGGAAUGGCUAUUCCGUGUUGGCAGGAUUGCUAUCCUGUGUUAAUAAUUGGGGUUAAUCCCUGGACUACUAUAAUUAUUAGGAUAGUCAUUUAAAAGAUGCUAAUCACUACUUACACUAAUAAAGGGUUGGGUUUAUGCUACUCAUAAUUAGUAGUAGGUUGUUCUAAUAAUAGUCAUAAUUAAAAGUGAUCAACUAAAAUGCUACCGCAGUCAAACCAAGUCAGCUUUACCUUGUUUUAAGCCUUGCAUGUCAUUACUUUGUGCUUGCUGAGUUCGACAUGAACUCACCCUUGCUAUUCCCCCCCACACCCCAGUGUGUAGUAAAGUGCUGCUCAGAAGAAGAACAAAGAUGCUAUGGAGGUUUUUAGAAGCUUAUCAGAAGUGCUUGGCGUACGGAGCCCCCAGUCAACCGUCUCUGAGAAGAAUGGAGCCUAAGAAGUUUAGCUACUGUUUCCGCGUACUCUGAUGUUUGUAAGUGUUAAUAUAAAUAUGUUUUCCGCUAUAUAACAUUGUUUCUGAUAUUUCUAUUCUUUUGUUAUAUGUGUGGACUUCCUGGGCACACAUAUGACGACUCUGGUCUUAUUUUAAAAGCCAGGGUGUGACAACUGGACCAAACUCCUGAAAAAUAAGUAUAGAGAAUAGGUAGUACAUGAUGUAUAAAUAAACUCUAGAUAAAAAAUCAGUACUGCGAUAAGUUUUAGAUUUUUUGUUAUAAAAUUAGCACGAGUAGUUAAUUCAUCCUAGAGCUUGUACCAGCUCUGGUCUAGCCAACAAUCAGCAUGAGGCGCGGAACCUAGACAUGCGUGGGAUUGCCAGCCUCGCCAGAGAGCUACUACCGACCACCCGGAACGCAGAGGGCGGAUCUCAUGCACGUGUAGGGAGGAGUCGGAGACAGUACCGGCUCUAGAAAACUCGUGUAGGAGAAAAAACUAGUCGGCUAACCAAAAAGUUGUUUUUGAAGGAUAAUAAAAAAUAUUAUGCUAAAAAUAAAUAAAAUAUUAGAAGUGUACUUAUCUUUGGACGAAUGUCUGGUCGGUGGUGACAGAAUUGUCUGGCCCUCGAGCUUUUUGACUUGCUGUCAUGACGGUGGUCGCGGUUGUCGUAGCGCCGUUCUUCGCGGCGAUUAUUAUUGCGACUGGUGGUCAGAGCAAGUAGGCCAAACAACUUGGUCGUUAGCCCGAGCAGGUCGAUGUCGUCGAUCUGCCUCUCUUUGUAGUAGGGAAGCAGGUGACGCAUCGUCGGCGUGGUCGGAGACGUUGUUGGAGUAGUCGGAGUUGUAGCCAGCGUGGUUGAAGCCGCCGCCGACGUCGAUGAAGAAGUGGUUGGCGCAGAUCGGAUCUACACCUCCUCCGUGGUCUUGGCGGUGAAGCUGUUGAAGCUGACGGUGAACGUGAAGUUGCCCGCCAUGGCCACGAAGUCGGGGAUGAUGACCAUCUUGUUCGUCGGGAGAGCUGUACGCAACCCCCUACCUGGCGCGCCACUGUCGACGAAAGCUGGUCGGCAGUCUACCUUGGGGUAUACCCAUGGUAGUAGUUUAUCGGUAGACGGUGCGCAAACUACGAACUCGAUGGUGACGCAAGACACGGACAAGCUUUUUAUCCAGGUUCGGCCGCCGAGUUGGCGUAAUACCUACGUCCUGCGUCUGGUUGUAUUGAUUUGUGUUGAGAGAAUAUGAUGUGUAUGACUUGUCCUCUAGGGGACCCCUGUCCCUCCUUAUAUAUCCUGAAGGGACAGAGUUACAAGCAAAGUAUCCUAUUUGGUACAAUAUCUUGUAGUCUUGCGGUGCACGCCGACCAGUCGUGCGCCGCACGUCUUCAUCCUGUGGGCCGAGCCACCUCUGAUGGUGCGGCCCAUAUAGGCCCAUGAGGGUAUAGGGGUUUAUACCCCCACACUGUACCAUCGUGGAAUUCGUAGCGCCCUGUCUGUGAGAGAAACAAUGACCGUCAGGUAGCGUAUUUACUAGGGGAGUUACCGUAUCCGCCCGAUCUGUCCGUUGGUGGUCAGCCGUCUAUAAAUAUCCUUGGGUCUCCUUGUCGUCGCUCCUUCCGCCUUUCGCCCUUGUUCUUGCCUCUGCCUCCUUGCCAUCUCACGCGCGCGCGCACCCUCGAGCAGUAGCAGAGUCACUCUCCUUCCUCCUUAAGAUGCCGGUGAGACUCAUCGGCGUCGAUGACUGGCGCCCGUCGUUGAUGACGGAGCGCCGGUUGCUAGAGCUUGAGAAGGAGGGGCUCCUGCGCCCCCACGUCUCCUCGUCACGGCCGGAGUGGAUCGCGCUGGCGGCGGACCACCGGGAACCAAGGCCGCCCAAGGGCUAUGUGGUUUCCUUCGCCAAGUUCCACCACCACGGCCUGGGCUCCCCUCCGAGCCGUUUUAUGCGGGCGCUCUGCCAUCAUUACGGCGUGCAGCUCCAGCAUUUUUCACCGAACACCAUCGCCGCCGCGGCGGUUUUCGCAGCGGUGUGUGAGGGCUAUCUCGGGAUGAUGCCGCACUAGGAUCUGUGGCUCCACUUGUAUCAGGGCGAGCUCUUCCACGCCCCCAGUGGAACCACAGGGGUGAGGAAGCUAGUGCAGGCCGGGUGCCUCAACCUGGUGCUGAAGACCGGCAAGGCGGAGAAGCCGCGAGAGUACAUCCCGGUGGGGUUGACGUCGAACCACGCCGGGUGGGACUCCCAAUGUUUCUACCUGCGGAACGACGACGACCUCCACCCCGCCUACACUGGGUGCUUGAUCUCAGAGCGCCCGGACCACUGGAAGUAUGGUGUCAUCUAGACCCAUCAAUCGUGGCUCGAUCCCAUCCUCGACGCCCUGAAGAAGCUACGCGAGGAGGGCCUGACAGCCGCGCUCGUCUUCUCAGCUGUCCAUCACCGGAGGAUUCUCCCGUUGAUGUCUCGGCCGCUGAGGAUGGACGAGAUGGGUCCUGGCGUUUCGUCCUGGGAUCUCGAGGCAUGCCGGAUGUCCAAUGAGGCUCCUGUGGACGAAGAGGUCACGGCCAGAGUUAGGGCGGCCGUCGCGGGCGACUUUCAGCUUGAGCAUGUCAACGGCUUCCCUAUGAGGUCUGAUAAGGGGUCGAUUGACCUGGUAAGUCCUUCUCCCCUUUAUGGCUUCGAUUCUUGAUUUUCUUCGAUCCUUUUUAAGACUUAUCUUCGCUCGUACAGGGAUCGAUUGACGCUCGAUCCUUGAAGCCUCCUGUGAAGGAGGACGAUGUCGAUCGCGACAAGAGGCGUGAGUCCGCGAAGAAGCAGAAGUUCGCAAAGGACUUAGAAAAGAAUAAGGAAAAGAAGAAGAAUCUCGAGCGACAAGCGCUGGAGACACGUCGGGCGAAGUCCAGGCAAAGGUGGGAGCCUUAGGAGGACUCUCCCGACGAGGACGAUGGCAACGACGGCAGCGACGACUCUGAGGGGAUGGCGGCCCAUCUCGACAGAAUCUUCGACGGCCCGCCGCAAGCCGACGUCGUCGUCCCGCGGACAGGAGCUCCUAAGGGAGCGUUGAGCGGAUCCCGCGAUGGCCAACAGGGGGACUCCUCUCCGUGCCAUUCUGGCGCCGACACCCCUCCUGUGCCUGCACAGGGUCGAGCCGUCCCCCGCCCCCAACCUCCUCCUGCAUCUAAGGCGGGCCAUCGGGUUAAGUCUAUGGCGACGGGGCCGUUGACCCGUGGCCGAGCCGCGGCCUCGAGUCAGGGGGAAACAGGUCGUAGGAGCUCUAGCCCUGGUGCUCGCCAGGCGGGAGACGCCGAGCUGGGGCCUGCGCCCGCUCGUGAGAGGCCUGGGGUCUCGACGGGAGGCGGCUCGAGGCCAGCUGGUAGGCGGGUCGCUCUUCAUAUGGGGUAAGACCUUUAAUGUCGUGAUUCUUGUCUUCCGAUGUCUUUGCCUUUCCUCAGGUUGAAGCGGCCGCUCGAACAGGCCCAACCCUCGAUGGCCAAGAAGCUCAAGGUGGGGGCGGCUUCCAAAGACUCGGGUGAGUGGUUGGUUCUCCUUCCAGUGGUAUUGGCGCUGGGUGAUUCUUGUGCUGAGUUCUUCGAUGGCUGACGUAUCAUUUUUGAAUGCACACAGGUUCAUCUGAUCCUCGACCAUCGAUGGGCGUCGAGAACACCCUGCCUCGUCCAUCGGUGGGAGAGACCGCCCCGCCGUCACCAAGGCGGGUCGAGGUGCCUCGCGCCCAAUAGCAGGGGGGAGCCCCCAAGCCUCCCCAGUCUGGGGGCGUGGGGGAUCCCAUUACCGUUAGUGAUGGGUCCGGCGGUGAUCGGCCCUCGAAGGAUACCCACACCGUAGAGGAGGAUGUCGAGGCUUCUCCCAUGGUGAAGCGGAUGCCUUGGCCCAUCGGGCUCCACUCCGCCGACGAGAGGAGGAAGAAGGAAGAAGAAGAGCGUGAGCGGGAGCCGCAGCAACGGCGGUAGGAGGAGCUACAACAGCCUUCACGGUGGGAAUCACUCGAAGACGAGUUGGAGCAGUGUCGGCAGCAGGAGCUGCUGGAACUCCAACGGUAGCAGCAGCAGCAGAGCCAACAGUUGGAAGAGCAGCUCGAACUGCCACCGCACAGCCCGCGUCAGCCUGAACCGUCGCCGCCGCAGGGGCCCGAUGCCGGGGAGGAGGGUUUGCCAGUUUACGGCCCUCCGACCCCUGCGUGGCUAUGCCCAGGGGCGCCUGCUUCCAUCCCGACCGAGCCACGGCGAGCAGACGGUGUGGUGGCGCUUGCCUAUGCCAUGCGCACCCCUGUGGAUCCUCAGUCGGAGAUUAAGGGCACGAUCUAUGGUAUCGAGGGGAUCGCCCCCGGGUUCCUUCGAGACCGGCAGCCAUGGGUGGACCUUAGCACCGUUGGGGAGGACAAAGCUGGGACGUCGGGUGGAGGCGAUACCGGGGAGACUGGGACUUGGAGGACGGUGGAUGACGACGGGCGAUUCUCCUCUCUCAUCGACCUGUUCUUGCACCAUGGGGGGUCGCUCGAGACUGUCCAGGAGCUCAUCCGGGGCGUCAAGGUGCGCAUGGAGGAGGAGAUGGAGAACUGGGGCCCUGGUCGGAUCCGUAUUCGGGCCUCCACCGGUCCGUCAGAGCCCAAUAUUUUUAUGGAUGAUCGGAAGGAGGCCGAGAAAUGGGAGCAUCUCGAGGAGCUUCGUCUCUGGAUGAAGCAUGUGGUGGGACGUAUGUCUGACAUCGUCAACAAUGGGCUUGGUCAAGCUUAUUUUGUAAGUGUCUUUGGCCCUUAGCCAUUUGGGUAUUUGAUAUUGUAUUCUUACUGUUCUACUGCUGGUUCGUAGGAUCUAAAAGAGACCUCCCGCCUGAAGUCGGGCUUCAUUCAUGCGACGAGGGGCGGCUGGGAGCAGCUUCCUCUUCUCAAGGACCAACUCCUGGAGUCGCAGGAGAAGCUUCUCAAGGCCUGCAAGGACCUUCUGGCGCUCGAGGAGGAGAAAAAGGAGAGGGAGGCCGCCCUGGCCGAAACUCGGGAGGCCUCGAGGAAGGCGGUAGAAGAGGCCACGCAGCUAAGGGAGCGGACCAUGAUGGUAGAGGAAGCUGCGUCCAAGGCUCGGGAAGAGGCCCUAAUCUACAAGGAUGCGACCGCCGAUCUCGACAAGGAGAAGGGUCUCAUCAAGGCUGACAUGUGAAGGGAGAUGAAGGGAGAGUAUGUGAAGAGCGAAAUCGCUCGGAGCGCCGCAGAGCAAACCAGGAAGAAGGCCCUCGAGGAUCUCGAGGCGGAGCGGUUUCGCUCUCGCAGCCUCUCUGACGACGUCGAUCGUCUGAAGAGAGCGUUGCUGGAGAAAGAGGGAGCUAUCACGCAGGCGGGCAAGGUGAUCGAGGACUUGCGAGUCACCAACACCGACCUGGCGCGCUCCUACAGGGAGAUCGAGAGGGCCAACACCGAUUUGGUUGGCGAGAAUACGGCUCUAGAGGAGAAGAUUCGCGGUAUGUCUCUACUAUCAUGUUUCUUUUCCAAGACAUGUUUUGUGUUGUAUAAUUUCUCCAAGUUGGUCUUUGUAGGGCUUAAGGACGAGAUUCUAGCUGCUCAAGUCGAGGCCCGCUCCGCCAAGGCUCAGCUCGAGGGGGAGGUCGCUUUGAACGGUCGGCUGCGGACUACGAUAAGCGAUCUCUCGGCCUCCUAGGAGCUCGAGCCUAUGGAUGAGUCGAGGGAGGCGGCUCGAGGCGACGCGCUGGUCGAUCAGUUGUACUACCUGGGUGCCACGCUGAGGGAACGGGUGCGGGACGCCCUUCAUACCGGGGUAAAGUGGGCAAUGGCGGUUGUCUGCUCAGGCUUUUCCUAUGAUAUGGAGGUGGUGUCCCACAGCUUCAUCAUUGAUAUUUCUAAGACCGACGCAGAGAAUGAGGAGAGGCUCCACUCCUUGAUCGACAACGCGGAGGCCCCUGGGAAAGGCUGGCGAAGCUGUUCGAGCCAGAGGUGCUUCCUCUCGUGACCAGCCCGGGUGCGGAUGAAGGUGGUGAGAGCAGAGAUGCGCAACAAGGCCUGCGAGCCUAUGCUGGGUGUCAAUACCCACUGUAAUGUUCUUGUCUUAAGUAAACAUUGUGUCUUUAACUGGUUUAUAAGAUUUGUGAAUAUUUGCUUAUUUUUAUGCUCGAGAUUCCUUUGUCUCCUUGUUCGGUCUUUCGUUAAGGCGACCUUGAUUGCCUCGAGGGUGAGGGAGUGAGUAGAGUUACCAUAGCCCGGGGGCGUAGGGGUUCUCAGGCUCGUCGUCUCUCGGCCCUUAAGGGGCUCGAGGUUCCUCUACUACUCGACUGUGCGAGGUUUACUUAUAGAAAAAAUCGUUCGGUUUUCAGGAACUUGGGGGGGGUCCCCCCUGCUAGCCCCCGAGGGAGUAUUGACUAUGAUGGGUCAUAGUGGGUACUCCCUUCUAACGUCGAGACCUUGACCGGAGAAAAAGUAAAUUACUUGAGGAAAGGAUCUUGUUUAUUCAUGCAUUCAUUCAUGGGAUCUUGGUACAGAAUGUACAUGAGAACAUAAAACUUCGAAACUCUAGGCGUAGAAUCAACGUAGCUGUUCGAUGUUCCAUGCAUUGGUGAAGACCGCCCCUUUUUCGUCCGCGAGCUUGUACGUCCCUGGCUUCAGGACCUCGGCCACCACAUAUGGGCCUUCCCAUGGCGGAGUCAGCUUGUGGUGUCCUUGGUUGCUUUGUCGCCGUCGUAGGACGAGGUCGCCCAUGUUCAGAUCCCUUUUGCACACGUGCUUGUCGUGAUAGCGUCGAAGCUUCUGCUGGUACCUGGCAGAGUUGAGGAGGGCCAUGUCUCGAGCUUCCUCGAGCUGGUCGGCCGCGUUCUCUCGAGUCUCUUUAUUCGUCUGCUCGUUGUAGGCCUUGAGUCGAGGUGACCCAUACUCAAGAUCUGUUGGAAGCACGACCUCAGAACCGUAGACCAUGAAGAAUGGGGUAUAUUUCGUGGCCCUGCUAGGCGUCGUCCUUAAACUCCAUAGGACCGAAGAGAGCUCUUCGACCCAUUUCUUGCCGAGUUUCUUCAACCGGUUGUAGAUUCUUGGCUUGAGCCACUGCAAUAUCAUGCCAUUGGCACGCUCGACCUAGCCGUUAGUUCGAGGAUGAGCUACUGCAGACAAGUUCACACGGAUGUGAUGCCGGUCACAGAAGUCCAAGAACUUUUUGCCGGUGAACUGGGUGCCGUUGUCGGUGAUGAUGACGUUGGGUAUGCCAAACUGGAUGAUGUCGGUGAAAAAGAGGAUGGCCUGCUCAGAGCGGAUGUUCGUGAUGGGUCGAGCCUCGAUCCAUUUGGAGAAUUUGUCGAUGGCCACCAGCAAAUGGGUGUACUCUCCUGCCGCUUUUUGUAGAGGGCCUACGAGGUUGAGACCCCAUACCGCAAAUGGCCACGUGAUGGGGAUCAUCUGGAGAGCAUGAGCGGGAAGAUGGGUCUGCUUGGCAUAGAAUUGACACCCGUGGCACGACCGCACGAGCUCUAUGGCGUCAGCUAUGACCAUUGGCCAGUAGAAGCCUUGUCGGAAAGCGUUCCCUACGAGAGUCCGUGGAGCUGCGUGGUGGCCGCAAGCCCCCGAGUGUAGAUCCUCGAGGAGCUUUCGGCCUUCUUCUAUGGUGAUGCAGCGCUGCAAGAUCCCGGUCGGGCUUCGUCGUUGCUUUCGCCGUAGAUCACGUAUGAUUUAGCCCGUCGAGCGAUACGGCGAGCCUCGGAUCGAUCUUCCGGUAGCUCACAUCGAAUCAGGCAAUCAAGAAACGGCGUGCGCCAGUCGAAUGGUCGGCCGGGACACUGUUCCACUUCCAUUACUUCUGCUGUCGUUAGCAGGGCUUCGAUAGCGUCAGUUGGAUGGGGGGCGAUGGUUUCGACACCAGCCCCCGAGCUCAAGUCGAUGGAUGGUUCGUGCAGAUCUCUCGAGAAUGCGUCAGGCGGGACCGUGCUUUCAGUUGACGCGAUCUUAGCGAGUUCAUCGGCCGCCUCGUUGUAGCGUCGGGCGAUGUGGAUGAGCUCGGGGCCAUGGAAUUUAUCCUCGAGUCAUCGUACCUCCUUGCAGUAUGCCUCCUUUUUUGGAUCGUGGCAGCUCGAUGGCGAUCUUCAGCCCGUUGACAGGGGCCUCGUACUCCGCGAUGUUGUUAGAUGCGGCGAAAAUGUAAUCUGAUGACAUACCUCAUAUGGACACCGAGGGGUGAGAUGAGCAGCAAACCUGCCCCAGCUCCAGUCUUCAUGAGAGAUCCGUCGAAGUACAUCGUCCACAGCUCCGCUUGAACAUGAGCCGGGGGGAGCUGGGAGUCCGUCCACUCCGCGACAAAGUCCGCCAGAGCUUGAGAUUUGAUGGCUUUGCGGGGUGCAUAAGUGAGGGUCUCACUCAUGAGCUCGACCGACCAUUUGGUGAUUCUUCCUGUGGCCUCCUGACUUCGGAUGAUCUCUCCCAAGGGGAAGGACGAGACCACCGUGAUAGGAUGACCGAGGAAGUAGUGUUGCAGCUUGCGUCGAGCGAGGAUCACAGCGUAGAUCAGUUUCUGGAUCCGUGGGUACCGUACCUUGGUUUCUGGUAGUACCUCACUGAUGAAGUAGACCGGCCUCUGGACCGGCAGCGCAUGUCCUUCCUCCUGUCUUUCGACCACCACUGCCGCACUGACCACUUGGGUCGUUGCAGCAACAUACAAAAGCAGAGGUUCUGCGGACUGAGGUGGAACAAGGACCGGGGCAGAGGUCAGUGUUUUCUUCAGGCUAUCGAGGACCUCCUCGGCUUUAGGGGUCCACGAGAAAUGUUCAGCUUUUUUCAAGAGCCGAUACAGCGGCAAUGCCUUUUCCCCAAACCUCGAGAUGAAACGGCUUAGCGCCGCCAAACACCCCGUGACCUUUUGUACCCCCUUGACGUCUCAAAUCGGUCCCAUCCUCGCAAUGGCUGAGACCUUUUUGGGAUUGGCCUCGAUGCCACGCUGGGAGUCUAUGUAUCCCAAGAGCAUGCCUCGAGGCACACCAAAGACGCACUUCUCAGGGUUGAGCUUGAUUUUGUUGGCGCGUAGACAACCGAAAGCGAUCUCGAGGUCCUGAAUCAGGUCUCCUCGUUUCUUCGAUUUGAGGACGAUGUCGUCGACGUACGCCUCGACCGUCGACCCUAUGUGCUGGCCAAACACGUGGAGCAUGCACAACUGGUAUGUUGCCCCAACGUUUCGGAGCCUGAAUGGCAUGGUCACAUAACAGUACAUCCCAAAAGGCGUAAUGAAAGAUGUCGUGAGCUGGUCGGACUCUUUCAUUUUUAUUUGAUGGUAACCAGAAUAAGCAUCAAGGAAAGAAAGGGUUUCACAUCCCGUGGUAGACUCAACAAUUUGAUCAACGCGUGGUAAAGGGAAAGGAACUUUUGGACAUGCUUUAUUUAAACUCGUGUAAUCGACACACAUCCUCAUCUUCCCAUUCUUUUUCUUAACUAGUACAGGGUUUGCUAACCAGUCGGGAUGGUGAACCUCCUUGAUGAAUCUGGCCAUCAAAAGCUUGUGGAUCUCCUCGCCAAUGAUCUUGCAUUUCUCCUCGUCAAAGCGACGCAGCCGCUGUUUCACUGGCUUGGAACCUGCUCGAAUUUCCAAGGAGUGCUCGGCGACUUCCCUCGGUAUGCCUGGCAUGUCCGAGGGACUCCAUGCAAACAUGUCGGCAUUUGCACGGAGAAAGUCGACGAGCAUGGCUUCCUAUUUGAGGUCGAGGUCGGCGCUGAUCGUUAGCACCUUGCCGUCGGAGCCGUUGGGGUCGAGCGGGAUCUUCUUCGUGCCUUCUGCCGGCUCGAAGCUGCCCGCGUGACGUUUGAGUUCCGGAGCUUCUGCAGCGAGGGCCUCGAGCUUCGAAGCAAGCUCGGUGGAGUUCUCGACGGCUUCUCCAUACUCAACGCAGUCGACGUCGCACUCGUACGCAUGAUCGUAGGAGGAGCUGACGGUGAUGACACCCUUGGGCCCAGACAUCUUCAGCUUCAGGUAGGUGUAGUUGGGGAUAGCCAUGAACUUAGCAUAGCCCGGGUGCCCGAUGAUGGCGUGGUACAUGCCUCGAAAUCCCACCACCUCAAAGGUGAGAACCUCCUUUCUGAAAUUGGCCGCCGUGCCAAAACAGACCGGCAGGUCGAUUCGACCUACGGGCAACGCCUUCUUUCCAGGUACGACACCGUGGAAGCCGCCCGCGCUUUGUUGGAGCUGUGUCCUUUCGAUGCCGAGGAGGUCGAGGGUCUCGAGGUAGAUGAUGUUCAGGCUGCUGCCGCCAUCCAUCAGCACCUUCGAGAGUCUGGUGUUGACGAUGAUAGGGUCGACGACGAGUGGGUAGACGCCAGGGGCGACUACCUUGUCGGGAUGAUCAUCUCGAUUGAACGUGAUGGGGGUGUUCGACCAGUUGAGGUACUGGGGCACCGCCAUCCUUGCUGCAAAGACCUCAUGAUGCUCCCUCUUGUGUUGCCUUGCAGUUAGCUGCGUCGAGGGUCCGCCGUAAAUCAUGUAGCAGUCGUGGACGGCUGGGAAACCCUCGUCUUCUUUGUCGUCCCCCUUGUCGCCGUUCUUUUCUUUCUUCUAGUCAUCCUUCUUAAACCCCAUGCCGUCGAAGUGUAUUUUCAGCAUGCGGCAGUCUUCAAGCUUGUGGUUUGCCCCUCCCUUAUGGUAAGGGCAAGGCUCCUUCCACAUCUUGUCGAAGAAAGCUCCCUCAGGGGGUCCUCGAGGUUUUUUACGCUCCAUGGCAGCGACGAGAUCGUCGUCGAGGGCCUCCCGCUGGAACGGCCGUGCUUUCUCCUUCUUCUUGUUUUUCUUGGGUCCUCGACUGGGGCCCUCAUCGUCAUCGGCCGGCUACUUGCCUUUGCCUCCUUCGCAGCUGAAGAAAGCACCGACCGCUUCCUCCCCUGCAGGAUAGUUUGCCACCACAUCCAUUAGCUCAUCGACAGUCUGAGGGCGAUUCCGGCCCAACUCCCACACCAAAUCUCGGCUGGUGGUGCCUGAGAUAAAGGCCAGGAUGACGUCGUGGUCUGGGACGUGCGGUAGCUCGGUGCGCUGCUUCGAGAAGCGUCGGGCAUACUCUCAGAGAGUUUCUCCUAAUUUUUGCUUGCACUUGCUGAGGUCCCAUGAGUUGUCGGGCCGUAUGUAGGUCCCUUUGAAGUUGCCCUCGAAUACUCUGACCAAAUCGGUCCAAUCGUGGAUUUGGUUGGCUGGGAGCUCCUCGAGCAAUCUGCGGGCGGUGUCGGAGAGGAAAAGCGGUAACUGUCGGAUGAUGGCUCAAUCGUCCCCUCGAGCGCCUCCCAACUGACAGGCUAGUCGGAAGUCCGCCAGCCACAGUUCUGGCUUGGUUUCGCUGUUGUAUUUAGCAAUGCUACUCGGGGGUCGAAACGGGCUGGGCAGCGGCGUGCUGCGGAUCGCUCUGCUGAACAUGCGAGGGCCCAGCGGUUCCGGGGCCAUCCGGUCCUCGUCGCUGUCGUAUCGCCCGCCGUGGUGGGCGCUGUAACCGCGCUCCUCUGCAUCCCCGUGUCGACGAUGACGAUACUCGUUGAUGUCGUGUCGUGCGUCGUGUUGCCGUUGAUUAUCGACGGGGUGGUUUUGGACAGGCGCUGUCCUCUUUCCUCGAGGGGGUGGUUGCUGAUGGACAAACACCUCCUUUUCAUUUUAGAUCGGCUCGUCACGCCUCUCCGUGGUGGCUCCUCGACGUCGAGAUGCCGAGCUCUCGGCCUGCUGAACUGCCGCUACUGGAAGUAGAGUCUGCACCUCGUCUCGAAUUCGGCGUGCUUGGGAGUUCGAGGGUUCAGGCAUGUUACGUAGCAGCAUCGGUGCCACCACGACGUUCUGGCCUACUCGGGGGAUGCGGCUGACGGGUUGUUCUGGUUCCUCGUCCCCGACGAUCUGUCGAUGUACCUCUCGAGCUCGUCUGCGGGCACCUCCGCCAGGUGGGUACAGUUGAUCCUGCUCGAUGACCAGCUCGAGCUGGACAAGGCACUCGUGAUCUUCAUUGACCUUUGAUCUGAGCUCCUGUAACUGCACCAGUUGCGUGGCUUUGUCCUCCUGCGGUGGGGGGUCGACCUGACCGUCGUUCCCAGGCGUCUUGGAGCCCUCCCUCGCUACAGGGGCUCAUUCACCGGCGACGGCGUCUUGUGUUUCGUUGGUGGUUUCUACCUCCCCGUCGACGUUGAAGCAUUCCCUAGUAGGGUCGUAGCUGUCGGAUUCAGAGUCGGGGUCUGGCUCGGCGGCGUAGAAGCAUCCACGUCUUUCCUCCAGCAGCAGCUGCUUGAGUGAGGUGAUCGCCCAGGUCCUAGGCGUCGGAGGCCACGCACCUGGGAGAAAUCCGGUAACUCGGCCGCUUGCUGCUGCGCUCCAACGUCACGUGGGAGGACCAUUGGUCGCUCCACAUAUGUCUGGGCGUUUGGACAUAUCAUCCUGGCGAGCGACGCCGCGGCGUUGUCCAGGACGAACGACAGUGCUCUCCUUGGGGCGAACAACCCGUGUGGAAGUAGCGUUGCGGAGGACGAGAGCGCGCGAGGCGCGUCGUCACCCAACAUCGUCGGGCGGUCCUCGUGAUGUCGGACCAUCGUACCCGCGGCUCCGGCGUGCGGGGUUGUCAGCUCCUGCGUUACCACCUGCCUGGCGCGAGCUGGCGAUUGCGAGGAGGCAGAGGAGUGGUGGCGGUGCUGUCCACUCCUCUUCUUGGGCGGGGAGGCAUGGUGGCGAGGCCAUCUUGUAGCCCUCAGUUGUGCGGGCGCAAUGCGAGCUCCUUCCGGUCCUUUGACCGAAAGUAGGAUCAUGUCGUAGCCGAAACCGGUAGACAUGAACUCGAGGCUCCUGAACCAAAUCACCGUGAAGCGCGGAAUCGGUGAAACAAGAGUGGCCAUCUGGAAAGAGAUGGGAAAUCGAUGAAAAAAAAAAGCAGGACCCCUACCUGGCGCGCCAAUGUUGACGGUCCUUAAGUAUCAAAUUUAAUUAUCAAAUAAACAAAGAAAAGGAUCCAAAUGAAAUCAACAUCUAGACUUAGGGUUUUAUCUGACAGAAUUCCACGAGUUUUGGUGUUUGUCUAUUUCUGCAGGGGGUUAUCAGGAAAUACGGAAGAAAGGCCCACACGUCGGGAUUACAUAGAGAUAUUAAUGUGCCGCGCAAUUAUCUUACAUCUAGAAGACUCCAGAAGCCACGAGACCGAAGCGGAGGCGAAACGGGGCCAGAGGCAGGGUGCCCACCCUGUUCCCCUAGGCGCCCGCCCACCUCCUAAGUCCAAUCAGGACUCUGCUUCGUGGGAGAUCUCCACCGACCUAAAGGAUGAAUCUAAACCAUACAAUCUAUGUCGGUUUGAUCCAACGGCCCAUAUUCACUUGAAGGGACUAUAAAACCAGACCCCCUGGCCCCUGGAGGAGGGAGCCUCUCAACUCUAAUUCAUUGUUCCUCAAGGGAGAAGAAGCCUCUGAUCAAGAUUAGAGCCACCACAUCAAUUAGAUAUCUAGAUUAGCAUAGCUACAUAGGAUUAGAACUGGAAGGAGUCAAUCUUCGAUUGGUUUCCAGAUCUGUCAGGACGAUUCUUGGUAAUUCUCUAAUUGUGUUUAUAAUUGCUUUCUAAUUAUCUUUGUUCUUCAAUAUUAUGAAUAUGACUUUGUUCUACUUCAAUAUAUUGCUUAUGACUUUGCUCUACUUGCUUAUAUUCAAGAUUAUAUUGUUCUUAGUUUAUCAUAGUUAUGUACUUGGCUUAGUUAGAUUCGAUCUAUAUACAUGCUUAGGAUCGUAUAGCAUUUAUCCAUCGGAUCCAUGGGUAAAUGAUAGAUAUUGUGUAGGCGUGGUGCUUAUACCGUAUUUAUCUGUGAUUGUACCCAAUAUGCCAGAUCGUGGGGUGGUUCAUGAUAGUGACAGCUUCAUUGAUUCUUAUAUAGUCCCCCUCUCGUGUAUUGGGCUGGCAGAGCAAUAUUAUUACGAUGAGAAACAUAGCAAUCACUCCCCUGUAAUAAUAUUGCUCUGCCAGCCCAAUACACGAGAGGGGAAUUCUUUGGCUAAGCGGUUAUCAAGUGCCACUAGGUGUCUUUGUUCAUGUGCAUGCAUUUAGAACCUAGUGAGCUAACUUAACUCCUUCAAAGAAAAUGAUUGUGAAAAUGCUAACACACGCACACUUGUUGGUACACACGUUGUGGUGUUGGCACACUUUGAGAAGGAGGUGGAGUUUUGAAGAGUAGAGAGAGGAUGGGUUCCUCUCUCCGGACGGAAUUCGGCGCUUUUCGAGAAAAUGAAGUGCAUAUUUUCUAUUGCGCCGGUGGGAAAUUUUGGAGUAGUCGCGGGAGUGUUUUUUGCUGAGAAGACACUCACCGGACGCUGGCUUCUGGAGCACCGGACGCUGCGUCUGAGCGUCCGGUGCAGACAGUGCCUGGCCCAGUUAGGGUAAGGCACCAGACGAUAGGCUCCGGACGCUGGCUUGAGGGUCCGGUGGUGCGCGUCCGGUGUAUGGGCAUUUUGCGACACUCUCUGCGCAUGGGUCCGGUGAGCACCGGAUGCUAAGGGUGCAUCCGGUGGCUUGCGUCCGGUGACCCUGCAAGUUUGCGGAGCUCUCUGCGCACGGGUCCGGUGUGCACCGGACGCGUCCGGUGCUAACUUGCUCAAGCGUCCGGUGCUCUGCAGGUUACUGUUAGACUCUGACACACGGCUGACGUUGGAGCACCGGACGCUGGUGUUGCGCGUCCGGUGCCCCUUUAAGAGCGUCCGGUGACCUCAAUUUUUGCCCAGUGAAAGAGCCAACGGCUCUAUUUGUUUGAGGGGCUAUAAAUACGUGUUUGGUCAGCUUGGGGCUCACUCUCUUGGCAUUCUAGCAUACAUAACAUCCUUGUGAACCUAAGCAAACACCUCCCACUCAUAUCCUUCAUAGAUUAUACGUCUUUGUGAGAUUGGGAGUGAUUCCAAGUGCAUUUGCUUGAGUGAUUGCAUCUAGUGGCACUUGGGGAUCGUUCUAGCUAUGGUUUUCUUGUUACUCUUGGUGAUUGCUGCCACCUAGACGGCUUGAGCAGCGGAGCAGCUUUGGCACGAGUUGGUGAUUGUUCGUGGCCAUCUCCCGGUGAUUGUGAGGGGUCUUGUACCUUCCCCGGCGGAGAGCCGAAAGGUAACUCUAGUGGAUUGCUCGUGUCAUUGAGCUACCUCACUUGUGGGUAGGUUCUUGUGGUGUCCUAGUGAGGACGAGGUUCGUGCUACACCUCUUAGCCACCGAACCACCAAGUGUUGGUCGACACAACGGGGACGUAGCAUGCCGGCAAGCACGUGAACCUUGGGAGAAAAAUCGGUGUCUCAAUUGUGUUUGAUUGGCAUUCUCCCGGUGCUUGAUUGUUUAUAUUGGUGAUUGGUUCAUCCCCUACACGGUGGUAUAAAUAUCUCAUCUUAUCUUUACUUACCGCAAACUAGUGUAAUUAGUUUAGUUGCUUACUUUGACUUGUAGAGACUUAGUUCUUGUGUGCAUAGAGAUCUUAGCAACUAGAAUUGUUGGGUAGGUGACUUGCAAACACCCCUUUAGAGCUAGAGCAAAAAGCUUCGCUUUGUUAUUUACUAACCUUUUGCUCUAGUGAGUUUGUAGAAUUUUUAAAUAGGCUAUUCACCCCCCCUCUAGCCAUAUUAGGACCUUUCAAGUGGUAUCGGAGCCGUGGUCACCGUUUUGUGAAGGCUUAACAACCUCGGUGCUCAAAUUAUGGCUCAAAUAGUGUUCAACCAUGUUGGGGGCAAACCACCGUUCUUUGAUGGCACAAGUUCCUUUGACUAUUGGAAGAGAAAAAUGAAGAUGUACCUUGGAUCAAUCAAUGAUAGAGUGUGGGAAGUCACGGAGAAUGACUUUGUGAUCCUUGACCCCGCUAACCCCACCGACAAUGAGAGAGCAAACAAGCAAUGCAAUACUAUGGCUCUCAACACAAUAUACAAUGGCAUUGAUUCAAAGGUGUUUGAGCAAGUCAAAGAUCUUGAGAAGGCUAGUGAAGUGUGGACAAGGCUUGAAGAAACAUAUGAGGGCACUACAACGGUAAAAAGUGCCAAGUUGUACAUGCUCAAGGACAAGCUUUCAAACUUCAAGAUGAAGGAUGAUGAGUCAAUCCCGGAGAUGUUCUAUAGGCUCAAAGUCAUCAUCAAUGAUCUCAAGGGCCUUGGUGAGAAAGUGAAGGAUGAGGAUUUCAUUCACAAGUUCUUGAUGUGCUUGCCCAAGAGAUUCAAGACAUUGAGAACCAUCAUAUUUAGAGGAGGAUUGACGGGUGUAUCUCCCAAUGAGGUACUUGGAGAUGUCAUGACCGAAGAUCAAUACAAUGACAAUGAUGAUGAUGAGGUCAUGAAGAAGGAUGAUGAUGAUAAGAAGAAGAAGAGUGUAGCAUUCAAAGCUAGCUCUUCAUCCAAGAGCAAGAAUAAAGGCAAGGCCAAGAAGGAAGAAUCUAGUGAUGAGGAGUGCUCCAAUGACGAUAGUGAUGAUGAAGCACUAGCACUCUUUGUUCGCAAGUUUGGCAAGAUGAUGAAGAAGAAGGGCUAUCACACAAGAAAGAGAAGAGAUCACUUCAAGAACAAGGAGCAUGUGAGACUAUGCUACAAGUGCAAGAGCCCCGAUCAUAUUGUGGCGGAUUGUCCUUACAAUAGUGACAAUGAUCAGUAUAACAAGAAGAACAAGAAGGAGAAAAAAGAAAAGAAAGAGAAGAAGAUGGUCUUCAAGAAGAAGAAGAAGAAGGGUGGAUUCCUAUGUUGUGACAUGGGAUAGUGAUGCUUCUUUGGAUGAUGAUUCUAGUGACGAUGACAAGGCAUCCAAGAAGAAGGCGCUUGCAAGCAUUGCUAUCAACAAGCCAUCACUCUUCGACACUCCUUAAUGCUUCAUGGCCAAGGGCCACAAGGUACAAUAUGAUGAGAGUGAAAGUGAGAGUGAACAUGAACAUGAUAGUGAUAGUGAUGAUGAAAAUGAAUUCACUAAUGAACAACUCAUGGACAUGUUAGAACAAGCCGAUUCUCUCAUUCAAUCUAAAAACAAGAAGAGCAAAGAAUUGGCCAAGAAGUUAAAAGCUCUUGAGCAAUCCUUUGAUGAGCUCAAUGCUAAUCAUGAGAGGCUAGUGGAAGCCCAUGAGAAGCUUGGCAAGGCUCACACCAAGCUUGAGAAAGCUCACUCCUUGUUAUUAGAAGAGAACAAGAAAAAGGUUGUUGUAUCAUGUGAUGUGAGCACAUGUGACUUAAUUAAAGAAUCACCCAACCUACCUAUUGUUGUUGCCACUAACUCUUCUUGUAGGUCUUCAUCCACCACCACCAACUCUACCUCUACUUCUAGUGUUAGUGUCACUUGUGACACCUCACUAAAGGUUGAGAAUGAGACUCUCAAGAGAGGUGGAUGAGCUCACUCACGCCCUAGGCAAAGCCUAUGGUGGUGAGGCCCACUUGCUAAAGUGCUUGGGUAGCCAAAGGUUUUCUCUCAAUAAAGAGGGAUUAGGCUAUACCCCCAAUAAGGGCAAGAAAGCCUUUGCAACUCACAAGCCUAGCUUUGUGAAGAGCAAUGGUCGGUAUUGCAACAAAUGCAAGCAAGUUGGGCACCUAGAGCUUAAUUGCAAUAAAAUGAACAAGAACAAGAAAAAUGUUGAUGUACCUUACAUUCCUUUUGAUUCUUGUUAUGUGCUUACCAAGGGUGAGAAGGAUGUUCAUGCUAAGUUUGUUGGUACACCAAUUGUGGGUCCAAAGAAGAAGGCCAUUUGGGUACCAAAAACCUUAGUCACUAACCUCCAAGGACCCAAACAAGUAUGGGUACCUAAGAAACAUUGAUUUGUUUUGUAGGUAAACUAUAAAGCCGGAGGAAGGCAUUGGGUGCUUGAUAGUGGGUGCACACAACACAUGACCGGUGAUUCAAGAAUGUUCAAUUCAAUCAAUCUAAAUGAUGACAAUGGUGUUGAUAGUAUCACAUUUGGUGACAAUGGUAAAGGCAAGGUCAAAGGGCUUGGUAAAAUUGCUAUAUCCAAUGACUUGAGCAUUUCCAAUGUGCUGCUAGUAGAGAGCUUGAACUUCAACUUGCUAUCCGUAGCUCAACUUUGUGAUCUUGGUUUCAAAUGCAUAUUUGGAGUUGAUGAUGUAGAGAUCAUAAGUGUAGAUGGCUCAAACUUGAUAUUCAAAGGCUUUAGAUAUGAGAAUCUAUACUUGGUUGAUUUCAAUGCUAGUGAAGCUCAAUUGUCAACAUGCUUGCUCACUAAAUCUAGUAUGGGUUGGUUAUGGCAUAGAAGGCUUGGUCAUGUUGGAAUGAAACAAUUAAACAAGUUAGUCAAGCAUGAUCUUGUUAGAGGCUUGAAAGAAGUCACAUUUGAGAAAGACAAGCUUUGUAGUGCACGUCAAGCCGGAAAACAAGUUGGCAACACUCAUCCAAAGAAGAGUGUCAUGAGUACAUGCAAAGCAUUUGAGUUGUUGCACAUGGACUUAUUUGGACCAACCACAUACACAAGCAUUGGUGGAAACAAAUAUGGAUUUGUGAUAGUGGAUGAUUUCACAAGAUACACAUGGGUAUUCUUUUUUAGUGACAAGAGUGAUGCUUUUGCAACCUUCAAAUCAUUUGUCAAGAGAAUACACAAUGAGUUUGAAACAACCAUCAAGAAAGUGAGAAGUGACAAUGGAAGUGAAUUCAAGAAUACAAGAGUUGAUGAGCUUUGUGAUGAAUUUGGCAUUAGGCAUCAAUUCUCGGCCAAGUACACUCCACAAUCAAAUGGUCUUGUUGAGAGGAAGAAUAGAACCUUGAUUGACAUGGCAAGAUCAAUGUUGAGUGAAUACAAUGUUAGUCAUUCUUUUUGGGCCGAAGCAAUCAACACGGCUUGCUACUAUAGCAACCGACUUUAUUGUCACCCAAUGAUGGAGAAGACUCCAUAUGAGCUCUUGAAUGGAAGAAAGCCCAACAUUGCAUACUUUCGGGUUUUUGGUUGCAAAUGCUACAUAUUGAAGAAAGGCACUAGAUUGAGUAAAUUUGAAAAGAAAUGUGAUGAAGGAUUCUUGCUUGGUUACUCCACUACUAGCAAAGCUUAUAGAGUGUGGAAUUUGGCUAGUGGUACUCUUGAGGAGGUGCAUGAUGUUGAGUUUGAUGAAACCAAUGGCUCUCAAGAAGAAGAAGAGAAUCUAGAUGAUGUGAGAGGCACUCAAUUGGCCGAUGCAAUGAAGAAUAUGUAUAUUGGUGAUUUAAGGCCUAGAGAAGUGAUUGAUGUUGAAGAUGACAAAGAUCCAGUGCUUCCUACCUCUAAUGUGCAAGCUAGUGGUUCUCAUGAUCAAAAUCAAGCUAGUACAAGUGGUACUCAAGUGCAAGAUCAACAAGCUAGUACAUCAUCUCAUGAUCAACCAAGUGCAAAUACUCCAACCAACAAAUAUUGCAAGAGAUCAUCCAUUGGAUCAUAUUAUUGGUGAUAUUCAAAGAGGAGUGCAAACUAGAUCAAGACUAGCAUCAUUUUGUGAGCAUUUCUCCUUUGUGUCUCACAUUGAGCCAAAGAAGAUUAAUGAAGCAUUGAGAGAUGUCGAUUGGGUUAAUGCUAUGCAUGAAGAGCUCAACAAUUUCAAGAGAAAUCAAGUAUGGGAAUUAGUUGAGAGGCCUAGUGAUCACAAUGUCAUUGGUACUAGAUGGGUCUUUCGCAACAAACAAGAUCAAGAUGGGAUAGUUGUAAGGAACAAAGCAAGAUUGGUAGCCCAAGGCUAUACUCAAGUUGAAGGUCUUGACUUUGGUGAAACAUAUGCCCCGGUUGCAAGAUUGGAAGCAAUUAGGAUCUUGUUAGCCUAUGCUUGUUCUCAUAAUAUCAAGCUAUACCAAAUGGAUGUGAAGAGUGCAUUUCUCAAUGGCUAUAUCAAUGAAGAAGUCUAUAUUCAGCAACCUCCCGGUUUUGAAGAUGACAAGAAACCCAACCAUGUUUACAAACUAAGAAAGGCAUUGUAUGGUUUGAAGCAAGCACCAAGAGCAUGGUAUGAGAGAUUGAGAGAUUUCUUACUCUCUAAAGGUUUCAAGAUGG